This 70291-nucleotide long non-coding RNA is filed under the name Vigna radiata. RNAcentral's name for it is "long non-coding RNA (VRAD_LNC003160)". The record is from RNAcentral. Lineage: Eukaryota; Viridiplantae; Streptophyta; Magnoliopsida; Fabales; Fabaceae.
UUUUUUAUUGGAUAUGGCAAACGUGUAGUCAUUUUGACUAAUAAACAUAAAUUUUUUCAUAAAUACAAGACUUAUAAGGAUCUUGGAGAUACUGAAAAUACUGAAAAAAAAAACGAAUUGGCUUUAAAACGUUAUUCCCAACAAUCGGAUUUUCGAAGAGACAUAAUAAAAGGAUCUAUCCGUGCUCAAAGACNGAAAACAGUUACUUGGAAAUUUUUUCAAAAAAGGGUGCAUUCGCCGCUUUUUUUGGAUCAAAUUGAAAAAUCAUUAUUCUUUUCUUUUGAUAGUUUAACUCUUCAAUUAUCCUAAUAUGGGUCUCGAUUUUGUACAAUACAUUAUAGGAACGAGUAUGUCCUAAGUACCUACACCUAAACAUGUUCAGUCCACAUGGUAUGUGAUACGGAAUUCGAUUCUCCUCGAGAGACUUUUCUCUUUGUCUUGAUUUUCCUCCUAUUCUUUUGCUUCUUUCUCGCCAUCUUCGAUACUUUUCUGACUUCUGAAAACGCAAUGAAAAUGUUGAAGAAGGAAGGAGAAGGCAACUAGUAUUUAUUGGAGAUCUAAUUUAUUCUUUGUAAUGUUCCAUGUAUUUGAGAGCAGCAUGGUCAUGUUAUAAAUAAGAGGAAAGAAAAGAAAAAGAGUAGAGAAUAACUAAAUUUCUUUGUCCUUUUACUAAUAAGAAAAAUCUUACUUAUGUAUAAUUUACAUAUACAAUUUAAAAAUUACAAAUAAUUUAAAUCUCAUAAAAAUAAUCAUGGACAACAAUGAACUUAUAAUAAUUAUACGAAGUUUUAAGAAGAGAAUUAUACCAAUAUUAAAUAUUAUUUUAAGGAAAUAUUAACUAUUAUCAUUAAUACUAAAUAAUUAGUAAAAAUUGUUAAAAAUUAAGAUAAAUUGAAAAUAUUGCAUUAAAUAAAAAUAAUUAAAAUAAAUAAUAUAUAAAUAAAAUAACAAAUAAACUUAUUAUUUAAAAUUUUAAAUGAAAAUUAAUAUCUUAAUACUUUAUAUAAAUUUAUUCACCAACCUUUAAUAUUAAAUCUCUUAAUAUCUCACUUCUAAAAAUCUGAGAGAAAUAACAUUGAUAUUAAAAUUAAAUAAGUACGGCUAUGAUUAUAUUAUUAUAAUAACUAAUUUUAAACUUGUGUCUAUUGAUGUUGAUUUGUUCGUUUAUUAAAAGAGACUAAGAAAUUAAAGAAAAAAUAAUAAAUAUUUUUAAGUUUUUAUAAUUAAGUUUUGAAUAUAUUCCAUCUUAAUAAAAAUAGUUUAUAAGUUUAGAAAGUUAAUAUGACUAUAAAAAUAUAAAUAGUAAAUUUUGAAAAAAAAUAUAAAAGAUAAAACGUAUAUAAAAAUAUAGUAAAUUUUUUAAAAUUAUAAAAAAUAUAUAAAAAAAACAUGUACAAUUCGACUUUUAGUAUAUGUUAUUUCAUUAUUCAAAGUACUUAAAAUGAGUCUUCAAUAUUAGAAGUGUUAGGAUAUUUAUUCUAUUUAUCAUGAUUAUAUUGUGUCUAGGAUUACUCUAAUUAUCGUGAUUAUAUUGUGUCUAGGUUAUUCUAAUUAUCAUGAUUAUAUUGUGUCUAGAUUACUUUAAUUAUCAUGAUUAUAUUGUGUCUAGAUUACUCUAAUUAUCAUGUACUCUUGUAUUAAUUUAUUAUUAUAAAUAGAAGAUUAUGAGAGGGAUCAAUCAAGCCCUCUAGAAUUAUUUUACAGUUUAAUUCUCAAGUAGAAGAAAAUGAAAAACUGCACACAAAUAAUUGAUAAUUGAUUGAAUGUCCAUCACAAGUGUUUGAUUAAUUUCUCUUCUUACUCUAGAAAAAAGGUGUCAACAUAAAGUGGUAUAACUUUCUAAUAUAGAAACUAAGGUUUUAAGAUAUGACAAAUGAUACCCUGUGCAUGAUAAUAAUUGAAAAAUCUACAAGUGCUAAAGAUAAAUUUAUUUUUUAGACAAGUCAAAUAUUAGAGUGAUUUUUAAAUAAUAGACUCUUUUGAAUUUAAAUUUUUAAUUUUACAAGGAUAUAUCAAACAAAGUAAACAAUUUUGUAAUCUUCAUUUUUCUGUAGUAUGAAUUUUGUGUUUUGGCUAGAAACAAAAUAAUUCGUUAUUUCCAUGAGAAUGCUUUUAGUACAUAAGUUAAUAGAUAUUCAAUUAUAUAUGGAAUAAACUAUUUUAUCAAAUGCUGUUAUAUUUAUUAAAAAGAAACACCAACUCAAGUAGAGGAACAUCAUAAACCACAUAUUAUAUCAUAAUGAUCUUUAUGCUACACAGAAUAUUGUGCCAUUUUUUUUACGUUUAACACGUUUAGAACAUUGAGGUGGUGGAAUUCGGAAAAUGAUGUUUUAACAAUUAUACAACCACUUAAUCAAAUGUUUUUUUUAAAUAAUAUAAUUAUGAAAAAAUUAAAUUGAGAAAACAUAAAAUAAUAAAUAUCAAAUGUUUGUAUAAAUUUAAUGAUUCAAGAUAUAAUCAUCCUUCUUUAUUUUAGAACUUUUUAUGCUAUAUUUCUUUGAUUUGAUUGUAUAAAUUUACAAUUUUUUUACAAAUUGAUAUAAAACUCUGAAUUAUUCAUUAGAACUUUAUUUUUUUAGUAUUAAUCUUUAUAAUAAUUUUCAAUUCGAUUUAUUAUAAUUAUAAUAAUAAUAAUUAUUAUUGUUAGAAGUGGACUUUCAAGCCUAAUUCAAUCCCACAAAAUCGACUUGUAAGGUGAAGUUUCUACUUACUUAUAAAUAUUACUAGGAUAAACUUUAACGAUGAUUCUAAUACCAUGUUAAAAGUGGACUUUUAAGCCUAACUCAACCUCACAAAAUCAGCUUGUAAGGUGAGGUUUGCACCCACUUAUAUACUAUGAAUUGGCUUUAUCUCUAGUCGAUGUGGGACCUCCAACAAUUAUACCUUUUCGAUUCAAUUACGACCCUUUCAGAUUAAAUUUUACAAUUAAAUCUAAUAUGAAAUGUAAGGAUUAGGGAUGGCAUAAAAGUUCUUACCUGCGAAUAAAAUCUACUACAAAUGUUUAGUACCCACGUUAAGAGGUACCCACGGGUAGUGGGUAUUUUAAUACCUACCUGUUAACGGGUCGGGUUGGGUAUCACAUUAUCCGUACUCGCAGGUACUCGCUACCCGUCUGAAAAAUGAAAUUACAAUUUUAUCCUUCGUCCUUUAAAUUAUUUUCUAAGUAGCUGUUGUAUUUUAUGUCUGUCGUGAAACCCUAAAUCUCAAUUUUUUUUCUCCUACACUCUCCUUUCAUUCACAUUACCGUCAUAGAAGAAGAGAAAAAAAAAUGAAAUUCAAUCCUAGGUUUCCUCUAGUCGUUCUCCACAUAUCUCGUCGUCUGCCAUUUUCUAACCCUUAAUUGCGAUCACAAGAAGCGCCAACCAGUCAUCUUUGUCGCGUAAAUCUCGCGAGUUCAUCAUUUUUUUCUCGCGCAACCUGCAAGAAGAAUCCAAACAGAGAUUCCAGAAAAACAAAUUGCAAACUUAAUCACGCCUCUCAAUCGCGUUCUAGGGAACAAAAAUGCAACUUGUGUCACUGCCACAUCUUGCGAAGGAGCCACCAUGAGAGCGCUGCUACAAAAGAGAAGGGGCGGAACCCUAUCAUCACGAGAGAACCUCCAACGUGGGAAAAAAUUUCUAGCAACCCUUGCGAAACAUCCUUACCCUGGUCCAAUUCGCGGCACGAGCUCUCUACAUUCUGGAAUCCUAAUUUUUUGGGUGAGAAUGAGGAUUGUCAUGUGGUAUCCUUCCUCUGCUUUUGUAGCGCACCAGAUGGGGAGGAAAAGGACAACUCUUUUGAACUUGAAGAAGAAACCCUAAAGAAGGGUUCGGGUUUGGGCUUGACCCAUUUUCAAGAAAAAAAUUAAUAAUAAAAAAGGUGAUUUGGACUUUGGACCGUUUUCAUAAAAUAAAUUAUUUGAACAUUGACCCAAUUUUGUUUCAGAAAAUUAUAUGUUUUUUUUUUUCAAUUUAAUUUAAACAUUUUUUAAAAUCAUAAAAUAUUAUUUUUUAAAAAAAAAUUACCAGUUGAAAUGAGUACCCAACGGAUAUUCGUAGAUUUUUUUUAUGCAGAUAUCCUACAGGUAACGGUUAUAUGCAGUUCAGAUUCAAACACUAGUGCAAAAACGCUGUUUAACGUCACCCAUCAGAUGUCGGUUUCGUGAAAAAUCGACGUCUAUUAUUGCACGGUGGCAUUAUCGUAAAUAUAUUGAUAAACUAGACGUCAAUUUCGAUGUUAGGCGACGUCUAUGACAUCAUAGACGUCGCACCUGCCUCAAAUUGCUUGAGGUAUGUGAUAAGACAGACAAUUCGACAUCGUCUAGAAAAGGGCACCGACGUUCCAGUCUCUGACAGGAAAUCAAACAUCAAACUGUUCAGCUCUAGACGUGGAAUAGAAGUCGGAUCCCCUGAACAAACGACGUCGACUGGGCUACAAUUAAUGUUGUUCACAAAAUUCCCAGGCGCUUAGACGUCACGUAGUCAAACAGCGACAUCUAAGGCCUAUCUGGAAGGCGGGAAGACAAAAAUCCUUCAAUUUAGACGUCGGUUCUGAACGUAAGCGACGUCUACGUUCCUGUAAUUGAUUAUUUUCACCAAAUUCGAGGGUUUUAGAUGUCGGCUAGGAGGGGCACCGACGUGAACUACCCUUACAGGAAAUCAAGCGUCAAUCUUUUCAGCUUCUUUAAGAAGAAUAGACGUCGGAUCCCGAUCAAACACUGACGUCUAUAGACGUCGGUUUCUGGUGCAACCGACGCCCAAUUUCAUUUUAAAUAAACCCCAGACCCUUCUAACCACUCAGUUUCUGAUCGCGUCUUCAUCUCUUCCCCUUUUUCUCUGCUUCUCCUCUUCUUUUACUCCCUUGCGCACCUCUACCUUGUAUCUCUUCCGGCAUUGCAUUGUAUUUUCUCAUAACGUCAUUGUCUCUGUCCUCUCCUUUUUCUCUCUUCACCUCAGGUACGUGAUUUUUCUUAUGCUUACCGUUUAAACUUUCUUUAGUUUUUUAUCGAUUAUCUUGUCGUUCAACUUAUUAAAAUUUGCCUUUUUUGUGUUAUGUUUUAGUGCACUUUUGAUCCACUCUUUGGGUAACAUAGUGCAACAUUCUCCCUUUGCUAGUUUCCUCACUAAAAGAGUGGCGAUCUUUUGAGUUUUCUAGUUCUUCCGACCCAAAAUGGAACUUGGGUUCUUGUCUACUUCUCGACAUCGUAAUUUUUUUCUAUUGCGGUUGAAUAAUUGGAAGUAGCCAUGGACCCAGGUUCGGUUUUGGGUUGAAAGCACUAGAAGAUUCAAAAGACACAAGCUUUUUUUGUGGGGAAACUAGUGAGAGGAGAGUGUUACACAAUGUUACCGAAAGCCUGGAUCAAAACUGCACUAAAACACAAAGUCGUUGUUAGACGUCUGUUAAAGCCAUGUCCGACGUCUAUAACAACAUAGACGUCGGUUAGUGUCAUUUUAAACCUCUUUUAUAUAUUCAUGUUAACGUCAGUUUAAUCAUAGGUGGACGUCUAUAUAGAGUAAUUAGGCGUCGGUGUGAGUAUAAGCAGACGUCUAUAUAGAUGUCAGUGGAUAUCGUUAACUGACGUUUAUAUGGACGUCGGUUCUGACGAAUUUCGACGUCCCAUAGACGUCACCCGUAUAGACGUCGGUUGUGAAAGUGACAUUAAAAGCCGAAAUUAACUGACGUUAAACAGUAUUUUUGCACUAGUGAAAUAUCACAUUAUUCAUGCCUGACCUGACCUAUUGUCAUCCUACUAAGAAUAUUAUGAUUAUGGAUGAUAUCUUUCCACAAACCCUUACCGUCAUUUAACACAUGCUAUAAUCCCUUUUCUUCUUCUAUUUUUUCCAAUAACAAAAAAUAACUUUUUCAAUUACUACAUUACUUUUAAAAGGGUUGUGAAAAAGUGAUUAUAUGUCAAAAACUAUUUUCCUAAUUGUAUAGUAAAUUUAAUUUACCUAUUUUUACUCUUCUUUGGUAUCGAACAAAAUCUCAUAUAAACUUUUAAUUCAUUUACAUUUUAUUUUUUUACAUUUUAUCUUAAUAACUAGAUUUUUCCGUAUGAAUUUAUUUCUUUUCUACUUGUUUAAUCUACCUAAAAUCAAAUAUAAUAAUUUAUUGAAUCAAGAUGUGUUAUUUACAUAAAAGUGAUAGUCAUAUAUGGUAGAAAUUGGAGUGCUUAGUGUAUAGAAAGGAAGCAUUAAUCCUUCCUGCAGUGUUGCACCAACCUUUAUCAAAUUCCCCUUCCUUGAAUCUGCAGUAAUAAAAAAUGAAAUAGUAGAAAGCUAUUUUACUUAACUUCAAGAAAGAUAAAAUAAAGAAAACGAUAAAUAAUGUUAAUUCAUUAUUAUCUUUCAAUAGAAUUUUCAAAUGAAGCUAAUUGGCAUCUUAAGAACAUCAUAUUGAACUUUCUUAACUUUUUUCCAAUCUUUUUAUGUAUAUAUUUCAAUGUUUGAUUCACUUAUGCCUUUAUUUACCUUUCCUUGAUAGUUAAGGCUCAACAAGUAUUCUGGCAAAUGAUUUAUGCUAUGUGAGCCUUCACUCAACCUUAGUAUAAUUAAUUAUUAACAAGAUAAAUGUAUAAUUACAUUCGCUCAAUGUUCUUACUAUAAUUAAUCAUUUUUAUUUUUAUAUCAAUGAAAUUAAAUAUAUAAUUAGAGAGAUUUUUAAGUGAAUUAACGGUUUGUCUCUUUAUUUAUGCUUGUGAAGAUUUUUAAACCAUUCUUUUGGACACUUUUUGAAGUGUAUUAAUUUUAUUUUUGAUUGCAUAGUAUAGCCUAAAAUAUAUCAUCUAUCUAAAUUCAUUUCACACGAUUUUUUGAGGUCUAUGAGACUAUUUUUGCUUCUUAUAUUUUUCUUCUAUUAUUGUUAGUGAUUGUCUAACUUAAUGCUUGAUUUUUCCAGAUGUUUGACAUAAUUGCAUGUUUCCAGAUGGCUGUUGGAUUUUUUGGCUUUUGGAGGAAUGCUCUUAGGUUAGUGUGAUUUUCUUGGUUGGUUUCAUCAUCUGAUAAUCUUCUUUUAAUAACUAUUCUAUCUUAGUUUUGAUCAACAUUUUAAAUACUGUUAGCCACUUCUAUCGUUUUGGUUUCCCAGUGGAAUAUGUGUGAUGUCUUCAUUCAUGUUUCACAGAAGUUUUAUAUUCCUUUUCUUCCCUCUAUAGUUUCCAAUCAAUGUUGCAUGUGACGUUGAAAUUCCCCUUUUGUAUAACACAUGACUGAUUCUAAUCUUUGAUAAAUUUUUUAAAUGUUUAUGCAGGUUUUAUCAUGAUGAAGAAGGAUGAUAAACGAUUCUGAAAUGUAAUGUAGUGUAGAAAUGAAAUGAAGAACAACGUUAAUGACUUUGUACUCAUAGAAAUUUUAUACAUUAUUGUUCCUAUGGUAGAAACUUUUUGUUUAGAUAUUAUUAAAAGGGUUAGACAUUAUGUUAUAUUAGAAAAUUUUGUAUAAGGUUGGAUAUUUUUUUUUUAUCUAAUAUAGUUUGAUUUUAUAAUGUCUCAAUUUAUGAAUGUUAAAUUUAGACAAAGAAUAUUUUUCUUAAUUACUUAUUACUUUUAAUUAUAUAUUAUAAAGAAAUUUCUUUAAAACUAACAACUACAUUAUAUAUGUAUUUUAGUUAGAUAUAAAACUUUUUUGUAUGUAAGUAUAUAUAAAUUUAUCUGUAUUAAAUUACAUAAGAAUUUUUUUCGUAUACGUAAGAUUAAAGUUUAUGUAGGUUUAAAUAUGGAUAGUAGCACAUACAAAUUAAAUAUUUUUUAAAAAAAAGUCACUUUUUAUACCUAUUAUAACACCAUCAAAUAUAAAAGUGAGAUUCUUUUAUACUUAUUCUAACACUAGUAGGUAUAAAAAAAAAAGUUUUUUUUAGAGGACUUUUUAUACCUGUUCUCAUAGUACUAGGUGUAAAUAUCAGACUUUUAUACCUAUUAUAAAUAGAAUAGGUAUAAUAGUAAAACUUGCUACACCGAUUCUAGAAUAGGUAUAAAAAAACGAAAACUUUCUAUACUCCUUACUUCUAUAUAUACUCAAAAACAGGUAUAAAAAGCUUUUUUUUAAGAGAUAUAAAAAAAAAUUUACACUAGUGAUAAUUACAUAUGAAUUUUUUUAUGUGUAAUUAAAUAUUGAUUUUUUCGUAUGUAAUUUAUUUAUAACGAUUUUACAAAUAAAUUUUUGUUUGUAUAUAAUCCAUAUAUAUAUAUAUAUAUAUAUAUAUAUAUAUAUAUAUAUAAUACUAUUUUAGAUACAAAUUUUUAAAGUUAUAUAUAAAUUUUGACCGUAACUAACAUGGAUUUUUCUUAUAGUAUAUAUAUAUAUAUAAUAUCUAAAAUAUAUGAAAACAAAAUAAUUGAUUAUAUAUAAUAUUUAAUUAUACUUUACUUUAUUCUAAUAUUUCUCCAAAGUUGGAGAAUAAAUGUUGAUGAUAAAUAGAAACUAUGAAAGAUUGUAUGAAGAAGGAGCUUUGUGAAUAUAUAAGUUAUUUGAUUUUCAAUUAUGCCAUGAAUGUUUGAACAAGUUCAGCUAUAAAAUAAUAGAAAAAAUCUAUAUGUUUGGGCUUCUCAUGACCAAAGGAUUAGAAGAAAGGUGUGUGGCGAUUUGUUAUUGCACAAGAGCAUAGUUGUGUCAAUUGAAACUUGAUUGCUUGAGUAAUCACUGAUCUUAUUCUAUUAAAAACUAGUAACAGCUACUCGAGUUUGCAUUAGCAUAUAUUAUUGAAAGAUGAAGUUUAUUGUUGGUGUGGUAAAAAAGAGACCUGAACAUGGAAUAUGGACUUUAAGUAAUGUAACAUGUCAUCAAUUGUCACUAAAUCUAUGGUUAAUGGAUUAUGAAUAUUGACUAAACUUAUAAAUUACAAAAAAAAAAAAAAAGUAAUGUUUGAUCUAGAAAUGAACAAGUACAGGAGCCUUCCAAUUAAUCUUCUAUACAAAGGGGUCCUUAGUGUUGAAAUAUAUUUUAUAUAAUUUAAAAAUAAAUAAUUAAAAUAGAAUCCUAUUAAUACUAAUGUUUUUAUACAAUAUUAUAGAUGUAAUUGCUAUUUAUGGAUAAACUAGUUUUUAAAUUUAUUUUAUUGAUUACAAACUGUUUUAUUUUAAAAUCAGAUUUAUUAUAAUUGACUUCUAAAUCUCUCUCUAUCACUUAUUUGAAUGGGUAAAAGACACAACAAGCAUAUAAACUUAUAGAGUGUUUCCAAUUUUCUACUAUAUAUUAUCUUUAAAGACAUUGAUAUUUAUAUGAUUCUGAGAUCCUUCAUUUUACUCGAUCGACUGUUGUAUUUUGGGAGAAAAAUGCAUUUAGUUUUGUUUUGCCUAUAUAAUGGAGACAUUUUCUCUACAAGGAGAGCUUUGUAUGUCUCAAGACAGACUAUUUCUAUUCAUUUCUUCAAUUAUAAUUGUAUCAAUUUUUGUUAUUAUUUUUUUGACUUAAUCUUAAAUUAUUUGUAUCUUUGCUUUAUUCUUAUACAAUUAUUAUUAGUUAUUUUGAUUAUUUUCCUAACAUUGGUAGAGAGGAAAAUAUUUUUAUUUUACUUUACUCAUCAUUAUUCUUUUUAUUGCAAAAGUUAGAGACAAUGUUCUAUAAUAUGUUUGUAAUGGAUAUGAUUAAGUCAUUCUUAAGUAUACUUGAAAAUUUUGUGGAUAAAAUUUAUUCUUCUACUAGUACCAACAAAUAAAACUUUUUCUCAUUGAAAUAUGGUUAUGUGUUUUUCUGAUAUGUAGCACUACUAAUUAAUUUGUUAUGAUGUUUGUGAUAAAGAUAUUUGAUGUCUUGGACAUAUUUUAAGUGUUUUGUCGAAUAAUAUUUAUAAAAUAUUUUACCAUACUAAAAUUGUUGUUAAAUAAUAGGAAACAAUUAAAUUGAAAUAUGAGUUUGUUGAAAAAUUUUAUAUAAAUAUUCUUGUGAAAAAUAUUGUUGAAUUUGAAAUAAUUAACAAUAAACUCUUUUUACAUCUGAUUCAUGAAUUUAAAAAUUUUGUUUUUAUUACAUCAAAUUAAAAGGAAUUGUUUAAAUACAUACUUAUGAGUUUUAUCUUUUAAAAUUGUCUCCUACAUGGUACAUGGUCUGAUUGUACUCAAAGUUUAAAACAUAAGCCUAAAAAAAAAUUAAUAUGUUGAUUAUGUGUCUUUGUGUUGAGGAAUAUAAUUUUUAUUAUUCAAGUUUUUUACAAUUUUUAAUAUAAUUACAAACCUAAAAUUAAUACUAUUACUAUAGGUUUUGUAUAUGAUUUACAUGUGAAAGGCAUGUCAUUAAUCAUGAGUUAAAUUAUGUUUUUAACUCAAACUAUUGGUUUAUAGACUAAGAGGCUAAUGUUUAUUUGGAUGCUAAUAAAAGUUUAUUUUGUUUACACUAGAAAUAAAAGAAAAUAUAUUUUGUUAUUAUUAAGUGAUUUUUAACUACAAUAGCAUUAUUAUUACUAGACAUGGUGUUUUUCUUGUUAAAAAAAUAUAUUUGUGAUAAUUUUAUUUAAGUUAAGGCUUAACCUUUUAUCUUAGAAGUUUUUCUUUGAGAUGUGACAUGUUGAAAUCUUAUUUGAUUAUAGUGGUAAUAUUUAAUAUAAUUUAAAAAGUACAUAAUCAAAAUAAAAUCUUAAUAUUACUAAUGUUUUUAGGAAAUAUUAAUUCUAGAUGUAAAUUUUAUUUAUGGAUAAACGGUUUUUUGCAUUUAUUUUAUUGAUUAUAAAUUAUUUUAUUUUAAAAUCAAAUUUAUAUUACAAUAGGUUUCUAAGUCUCUCUUUUCUAUCUAUAAAUACUACUUAUUUGUACUAUUAAAAGGUAAAAAAAAAAAAAAAAAAAAACAUCAAUUGAUAAACAGUAUUUUCAAUUUUCUUUUCUAUAUUGACUUUUAAGAUGUUGAUUUUUAUAAGGUUUAGUGAAUAGAAGUGUCUUCUCUGUAAAAAUUGUAUUUGGUAUGUCUCAACCCAAACUAUUUCAAUUUGUUUAUUUAAUUAUAAUUGCAUUAUAUUUUAUUUUAUUAUUUCAACUCAGAAUUAUUGACAAAUUAGAAAAAAGGAAAAGAUUUAACGGUUAAAUAUUAAUGAGUCAGAAAUCAAUAAAAAAAAAACAAUUGUAACAUCAUAUUCAAUAUUUUCUGACUAAAUAUUGCUAUGAAGUUAUCUACUAUUAAUCAUCACCUGCACUUUAUUUCUCCAUUAAAAACCUUUUAAAAUCUGACUUCAGUUCCAAUCAAAGAGUCGCUGUUGGUAACUUACGUGCACAUAUUUCCUAAUCUCAUUGUUAUUUUUAGUUUUACAUACAUCAUUUUUCAUUGUGAAAAGGUAUUUUUCACGAUAUUUUUAGUUUUUCAUCUUGUCAGCAUUUUUCACGACCUUUUUAAACUAAUGUGUGUGUACUUUUCAAUUGUCUGCCACCAAAACAUAAAUUUCCAAAUCAAAUUACGAUAUAUAUAUAUAUAUAUAUAUAUAUAUAUAUAUAUAUAUAUAUAUAUAUAUAUAUAUAUCAGAAUUUAUCCGGCUGACAAGUUAGAAUUGUUCUACACAUUUAAAUGCAUUGGCAACACCGCUUAGGCGAAUUAUAUAUAAUCGGUACCAUGUUGGUGAAACUUAAAUUUCAGAUGCAAAAUGAAUUCAAUGAAGAGAAAAAUGAGGUUCAAAUCAACGAUAAAUCUCGAAUUAGACUUAUUGCCUUCUGGGUUCAUUUCAGUUUAGGUACGAAAUGUCUAUUACUUAGGAAAAGUGACUUUUUUUUUAAAUAAUUUAUUUGACUGUGUGGUUUGAUAUCUAUAUAACCUUGAAGUUCAACAAUGGCUUGUAGUGCACAAAGUUCCAAUGUUUUACAAGGAACGAAAGCUAUCCUUAUAAUGAAUAAUAGUCUUUUAUUUAAAAUUUUGAAUUUCAGAAAAAGUCUGAAAAUUUCGACAUUGAUGGUUCGAAAGGUUUAGAACAUAGUUGGAAUGUAGAUUAUGAGAAUUGUACGGUAUUCUUAGAAAUCCUUCUUUCAAUGUAGGGAAUCAAACAAUAUGUUAGAAAUUCAUCUUCCAUCUUGUUUCUGAUUCUAUUUUUAUCAAUCUUCAUGUAGCAAUUAAAACGGGUACCAAUCAAUCAAUCAAGAGAUAAGUAAAAUAGUUAUUUGUUUUCACCUAUCCUUAGCAUAUCUUAGAAAUUGUUAAUAGAUUUCUCAUUUUAGAAUGAAAUAGAACAUCAAGUUCAUAAUGUUGAAUUUGUAUUAUAAGAUGUAAUUUUUCCCAUUAUGUAAAAUCAUCAAGAUUAAACUUUAUUUCCAAUUGACAACGGUUGAUUACAGUGUUUUUAUGUGUAUAUAUUGGAGAAUAAAUCGAAUCCUACAUAGUUUUUACCUUUUUUUAUCUCUAAGUUUAAUGUGUUUUCAUGAUUACUUAUGUUUUACUUAGUAUAUGUUUGUUUUUACUUUUAAUCUAUUUGUUUGAGUGUGUGAAAUAAAUGAAUAGGAAGCAAUUCUAGUAUAAGAAAACAAGCAAGAACUGAAGGGAACAUGUUUUGGGACAAGAAAAGUUCAAUUUAAAGCAAAUACCCAUAUUAAACACUUUUGGAAUCAUGCAAGUGAUUAAAUUUCAAAAUGGUGUCAAAGUGUCAAGGGGCUGAGAGGGGGCCUGAGUGUGACAAGGCCAGGUGCAACGAGUUAGGUGCCCCCAGAAAGGGGGCCUGAGCGUAAUAGGGCCAACUACAACAGUGUUGAGCACCCCAGAAGGAGAGGUUCUUAAGCCUUAGAAUGUCAAGAAGAAUGGCAUUGAGCGUCCCAAAAAAAGGGCUUGAGCGGUGACAUUGCUAACAUAUCAAAAUGGAUUAUUUAAGUUUUUUGUUGCGAGGUUUUAGGGAUUUUUCUCCUCCUACACUUCAUUUUUCACCUAGAGUAACUAGGAGAGGCUCUUAGAGGCUGUUUGGAGUGCUGGGAAGCUCUCCCUUCUCCUCUUUGAGCUUCAAUCUUCAUCAAUAGUGAUUUGUCCACUUUUGAGUUAAGGAAGAAGAUCGAUCACAAAUUGGAGAUAGAGAUGCGAAGAGAAAACACAAUUGGAGCAUGGAACAACUACAAAGAACCUUGGAAAAGACUGUGCACCUCCCUAUGGUUUCAAUUUCUUCCUUAUCUCUUCAAUUUUGUAGAACCUUAAGUUCUCCAUCAUGAAAAACAUUUCCUAUUUGUUGAGAUUAAUUAUAAAACAUGGAAUUCUUAUGUAUUUUGUGAUGUUAAUGAUAUUGCAAGUCACAAGGGAUGAGAUUGUGUGUUUGGCCUCCACUAUUUUGGUUCUUAAUGCAAGUUUUGAUACACUUUUAGGCCAGGGGAUUGGGUAAGGUGUGUCAAACUUGGAUAGGUUCAAUAAGAGGGAUCUGAACGUUUUUACCUUAGAGAACAAGAAAAGUAAUAUUCAUCACCUUAUGAGAGUACUGAGUGAUCUUGCAACAAGAGAGAUCUGAGUGAGGUUAUUUGGGAAAUUUAUUCUAAUCAUUCUUCAUAUUUGAACUGUUGUUUGGUUGGUGUGCUUACGUUCUCCUAUUUUUAUUUUCGUAUUUUCCUUAUUUCUUUUUUUGUGUUUUUCAUUUUUCUAUUUUACUUUUCUAUUUUUUAUUUUUAUUUUUAUCUUUAUGUUUUUCAAUCUUAAUUUUCAAAUCUUUGUUUCUAUAAAAAAUUCGAGUUAAUGAGUUUGUUUGAGUUUCUUAGUGUUCUUGUGAGUGAUAGGUAUGACUGUUGAUACACAAGGAGCUGAGGAAUUUGAACAAUAACUUAGUCCGCCCACAAAUUUUGUUUUUUUCUUUUCCUACUUGUUAAUAAUAAGUGUGACUUGAGUGGUCUGACAAAUAUAAUGCAUUUGGUGAUGUUACCGUCAGUGUUUAAUUUUUAGCUCAAAUAAAACACUUUCAUAUAAACAUUAGAAAUCGUCCAAUUAGUUGUAACCAACAAUACUCAUUCAAUUCACAUUACUUAAAAUUAAAAAGUUCAUAAUAAUAUAACUCAGAACUACUUUAAUAAAAACUCAAAUCCAUAAUUAUUUAUUCCAACACAAUAUAACCAUAAUAUUGGUUAGAUAAUUCUACAUAAAGUCUAUAUAUUAUUGAAAAUGAGAAUUAUAUAUAUCAUACUUAUACUAUUCAAAAGUUGUAUUUAGAAUUGACUAAUUUUAUAAUUUAUUAUUUAACAGAAAUGAUGUAUAUUUAUGUUUAAAAUUAUUGUUGGAAUUCUGUUUAAAAUAAAAUGAUAAUGGUUGAAAAUCCAUAUUAGAGUGUUGGAUAAUGAAUAUGCAAUAUCCAAAAAGCUAUUUGAACGUGUAGGAAGGAUAAAAAAUAGAUGCAAUCUUUUGCUUUGCUUGUUGGUAACAUGUCAAUCAUCUUAUUGGGGGAGGAAAUGUGACCCACCACUCACCCAGUAAUUCAUUCCUCAUUUUCCUUUUUAUCAAUGUUAUCCUAAUCCAACCAAAUCCAAAUCCUUCUUCUUUUACCUUCAUUUCUUUUCUCUUUCUCUUACUUCACAUUAACUCUUAAACUAUUACAAUUAUUUCAUAAAUUCAAAGAAAAAACUAAUUAACAUAAUCGCUUAAGAUUUAUCAUUUCAUUUCCAACUUAAAUAUACAAUUAAGACGGAAAGCUAGCGUAUUAUUUUACUCAAAAUACUAAAUUAGUUAAAUAACAUUACUUAACUAAUUAAUUUUUCCACUUAUAUUCAUCACAUGCCACCCAUCAUGAAGGAAAAGAAUACUAAGGUUGACGAUAAUGGAGGAGAAGAUGCCACGUGAGCAAACGUACAAUAGAAAGAAAUCUAAUUCUUCAAAUAACGUAAACUAUUCAGUUUGGUUCUUUGCUAUCCAUUAACAACAACACUUUAAGAAGAAGAAAAAAAAAGCAACUUGCUUAAUUAUUUAAUAUAUCAUUAGUUAACGUUAAUCACAAAUGCUUAAGCAAAUGAUGAAUAUUGUAAGUGAGCAGCCCUCAAAUAUAUUACGUACCGAAAGAUGAAUAUUAUUCUUGAUUCUUGAUAGUGAUAAAAAAAAAAGUAAGUGAUAAAGACUAGGUAGGUUAUAAAGGAUAAGAAUGAUGGAGUGAAUAUAGCCGUUUCACCAAAAAAAGGAAAACAAAAGGAAUGAAAUAGCUGCAGGAAUAUUCUUUGUUUUUUUUAGUACUGCAAAAUAUUUAUUUUCUUUUUACACAUGCCUUUCCAAAUAUAUUUCUUAUUUGCUUUAAUCUUUUUCUUCUCCCUUUUCAUUCUUCCUUCUUCCCAAUUUUUAUGUUUCGUAUUCAUCUUUAUGUGGAAGUACACAUAAUUCCACAAUAAAGGAUUUAUUUAGAAAUUUUUUUCUAAAAAUUAUUUUCUAUAUUUUUUAAUUCAUGAACAAGAUAACAUGGAAAACUUAAGUUUAUUUUUUUCAAAAUAUUGAAGAAUGUCCUAUAGUAUAUCAAGAGGCAUGACAAAUCUAGUAUGAAAAAUAUUCAGAAAAAAAAAUUAAAAAAAAAUUAAUCAAAUGAGAUUUUAUUCAUAAAUAUCACUAUAAACCCUUAGAAACACAUUUUUACAAACUUUCUUCAUAAAAACCAUUAUAAUAUGAUGAAAAAUAAUUAGAAGGUCAUGAAGGAAUUUAUGAGUCCAACUAAAAUUCUAAGAUUUCCCAUUAUAUAUAAAUACAUGAGUAAAUUUACCUUUGAAAAUAAUAGUACGUAAUACCUUUACAAUUUUAGAUAAACGUUAAAUUUAAGCAACUUUCUUUCCACAAAAUCAAGUUUAUUAAAAUACCACUAUACGGGAGAAAACAAAUACAAGUUGGUGUUACAUUUGGUUAAACAUUUAGAUAAAAAAAAAAGUCUUUUAUAUUUUUUUUUCGGAAGAUAUUUCAUAAUUUUAAAUAUAUAUUAUUUUUGAGAUAUAUAAUUACCAUACAUUUUUAGGCAUAUUUUUAAUUUUUUUUCUUUCUAAUCUGAUCUUGCACAAUAUAUCCAAAUCUUUUAUCACAAUUAAUCAUGGUAUUUAUUAUUAUUAUUAUUAUUAUUAUUAUUAUUAUUAUUAUUAUUAUUAUUAUUAUCGAAGGAAAAAAAAGAAAGAUAAAUUUAGUAAUAUGAUGAGGAUGGAAAUUUGUCAACUUAAGUUGAGCUUAGCCUAAACCUAAUGAUUGUAAAAAAAUUGUGGCCAAGAUUGUCUGUAAAUUAGUUUAUGGUAUGACUUGGUCUUUGUAUAAGAAUGAGCUUCCUUGAUAGCAUGUUUAUUAAGGUUUUAUAAACAGUUCAACGAAAACAUUCUUAAAUAAACCAAUUAACUUAUUAGUUAACGAAAAUAUCAUUCAAAAGAUCAAUAAAUUUAUGUGUUAACAACAAAUUUACCGUUAAACAUAAUAAAUUUAACGAACUAACAUCUUUUGCAUUAAACACUUCAAACGACAAAAGAAUAUGUAUUACAUUCAAAACGAUUCCAAAUUAAAAAUAGUGUUUUAAUUCAUAAUUUAUAUAUUUAUAUUUUAUUGAUUACACAUUUUAUUUAAAAAUAAUAAUUUUCAAAAUAAGCCAACCUGUCAAGCACAAUGAACUUUUCUAAAAUCCCACAGUUCCGUAAAAAAUAACUUUUUAAAAAGUAUGAACUUUUGCUAAAGAGAUUAACCCCUUCAUGAACGGUCUAUCUUAUUUUCUCUUUUAAAUAUAAUAAAAAAAGAGGGUAAAAAUAUUAAUAUACAUUUUGACAGAUAUUUUAUUAUCCAUCUUCUUAUUCCCGAAAUUAAUUUCGCAGCUAAGCGAAAAUUGACAUAAAACAACUUUCAGAAUUUAUUUAUUUUUCAAUAAGAUAUAAUUUGCAUAAUGUUUUUAUUAUAUUUUCAAAUAAUAAUAAGUUAUAAAGAAUUUAUCCUAAUUUGUGUUUUUUUUUUUUUGAUAAAAAUAGGUCUGAGAUGAGUCGUAUACUUUGACGCUUGACCAGUCCACUACACUUCCUCUCAUGAUAUUUCACCUUACGCGGCUUCCUACUGUACCCAAAGAGUACGCCUUACUUUUCCAAUUUUCCCAUUUUCUUUCAUAUUCUUCUCUAUAAUUAUGGUAAAACCCCACAAUUUUUAUCUCUUCUUUAAUGGAAAAUACUUAAAAUACACUUAAUUUAUUUUAUAUCUUAUUUCUACCUUAUUUUCCCCUUUGUUAUGUUUAUUACUUUUCACAUUCUAAUAGAAUAUUCCCAUUUAUCAUUGCUAACUAAAUUGGAUUUAAUUUUAUAGAAAGAAAAUAAAAUUGAGCGAGUGGCAAUAGUGACAGAACACGUACAACCUCCGAAGGCGUGGGGAGAAAUUAAUUUUUUAUUUUGUUUUUUACAAGGAAAUUAACUUUAGUCUUUUAGGUCCCACUUAUUUCCUCAAAAUCUUCUGAACUUUCUUCUUCAACCUACAUCAUUUCGAUCACUCACUCAUACUCGCGCAGCCAUUUUUUUCAGUUAUCAAAAUCACAAAUUUCUCUUUUUAUCUCUCUCUCUCUCUCUCCCACCACCGUCCAUUCUCUCUCACUUCCUCCUAAUAUAAAUUCCAUGCACAAACCCAAACAUCAGUUGUAAGAAACACACACAACAACAUAAGUGUCUCUAUAACAAUGACACUCUCUGUAACACCAACUUCCCAACCAAAUACUUCACCUUUCUCAAAACCCAACUUCAACCCAACUUUCUCACAUGCCACCACCCCAACCUUACCCUUCAACAAGUCCCAACUCGCUUGGGAGCGCCUCAGGACUGACUCACUUGAAUCCAACUCACCCCGACUCGGUCACAAGUGGACCCAAUACCAAGGAAUCAACCACUGGGAAGGCUUGUUAGACCCUCUUGACGACAACCUACGCGCCGAAAUCCUAAGAUACGGCCACUUCGUAGAAUCCGCAUAUCGCGCUUUCGAUUUCGACACCAAUUCCCAGACCUACGCCACGUGUCGCUUCCCUGAAACAUCACUCUUGGCUCAGACCGGAAUGCGAAAAUCCGGUUAUAGAGUAACCAAAAACUUACACGCCACAUGCGGCGUUCAAUUACCCAAUUGGGUUUCUUCCGUGUCGCAACUGCCACGUGCUCGAUCCAGUUGGAUUGGUUACGUAGCAGUCUGCGAAGACGAGAAGGAAAUUACGCGCCUGGGUAGACGUGACGUGGUGAUUGCUCUUCGGGGAACCGCCACGUGUCUGGAAUGGUUGGAAAAUCUUCGUGUUACCUUGACAAAAUUGCCCAACCAUAUGGGUUGUGGAAGCGACGAUUGCAUGGUGGAGAACGGUUUUUUGAGUCUCUAUGUCUCCAAAACGGGCGCGUGUCCCAGUUUGCAAGACAUGGUUCGGGAAGAGGUUGCGAGAGUGAUCCAGUCUUACGGCCAGGAGGAGCCACUCAGCAUAAGUAUAACCGGUCACAGCCUGGGAGCCGCACUCGCGAUUCUCAGCGCGUACGAUAUAACCUCUACGUUCAAAAAUUCGCCAAUGGUGUCUGUGGUUUCCUUCGGUGGGCCCCGGGUCGGUAACGAUAAGUUCAGGGCCCAGUUGGAAAAGAGUGGAACCCGAAUACUUAGAAUUGUGAACUCCGAUGAUGUAAUCACAAAAGUUCCUGGACUUGUGGUUCCAGAUGAUGACAUGGCGUGCAGUGGCCAUGUCCACGUGGCGGGUUUGCAGAAUUGGUUCCGUAAGGUUGUUCAGGACAUGCAGUUGGUAUACGCUGACGUUGGACAAGAGUUGAGAGUGAGUAGCAGGGAAUCAGCGUAUCUGAAGAAAGGAGAUGUAGCCACGUGUCAUGAUCUUAAGACUUAUCUUCACUUGGUUAAUGGUUUUGUUAGUUCUUCCUGUCCUUACAUGAGCAAAACGACGCAGUAUCCGGCCGAAGCUUCAUUCUGAUUUUUAUUUUUGUUAUCAUGUGUAUAAUUCUCACAAGAUCAGUCCAUUUUAACUGUGCAUAAUUAAGACUAAUGCGACGAUAUCUACUAUCUCACAAUGACCAUGAAAAGCUUCUGGGAGCAUUUGUUUCACAUACCACAAGAGAAAUGAAAGAGAAAAGUUGUCAUCUGAAAGUAAAAAUAAAUAAAUAAAUAUAAAUUAUUUACCUUUUACUCAAUAUAAAUUAUUUUUGACUCAAAAAAAAAAAGGGCGAAAGGGUCAUUUGGUGUUAACAGUACAGUUCCUGAAGGUCAACUUUCAUCUUCCAUUUGUUCUUGUUUUUGUUUACUUUCUUCUUUUCCAUAAUUUUUUUGUGGCCAGAAUGAAAAGAGUAAAGUAGAAGACACAUUUGGAUGUUUUAUUUUGGAAAGGAAUCAAAUAUUAAAGGACGAAUUGUAUAUUUAAUGAAUUAUAUAUCAUUUAAAAUAUGUUUUAUUAAAGUUAAAUUAGAAUUUGAUGAUUUAUAAAGUGAAAAAAACCUUGGGAUAAACUGCAUGCGUCUUGAAUAAUGCGUGUCCCUUAUGCAUUGUCACUCUCAAAUCCUGAAAGCUCAAUUAUGAUUCCCAUAAAGAAACAUUGUACAGUGCACUGCACUACAUUUAUCAGUGUGACAUCAUAUGCACAUAAAAUUUGAUGCAAACAAAGUUUUGAACUGGUAAUCUUCUUCUUCCUCUGUUCAUUUCAUGGCCACUCUACUGUUAUUUCAGCCACCUUCAACACCUACGUCAAGUUAACACUUCCUACUGACUCUUUUAUAUAUUUUUAGUAAAUUACUUACAGAUAUUUUCUCUUCUUUCUGUAUUUAUCACACCUUUUAUGUACUCACAUUUUCUUUUUCUUCUGUUUCCAAAAAUCUUAGCCAUCAAGAGUGACGCAAAAAAGUAUAACAAUUAUAAAGAUAUAUUAUUUAUUCUGAACACUGAGGAUGUUGAGCCAAUUGGAAACAACCACCGGAAAAUAAAAUAGCCUACUUUUGGAUGUUAAUAUUUUAAGUUUAUCUUUACAUUCAAGAUCAACAUUUUAAUCUUUUUCACUACAAGAUUCUCUUAUUUUAAGAAAAGUAACUUAUAUUAUUUUUACUUUUUCUUUAAAAAAAAAAUAUCAAAGUUCCAUAUUUAAUUCUUAUUAGUAAACCAUUUCAUUCUUAAAAAUUAUUUUUUUUAAAUGAUCAAAUGUUAACUACUAAAAAAAAUGUUCUUAAUAUAGACAUUGCCUUAAUAUAUCUUCCUCCGAAAAAUAUCCAGUCCAAAAUGUUUUAACUUAGUCUAAAAUGUUUUAUUUGUAAAACUUAUCCUUAUUCAUAUUUUAGUUUACCAUUAACUUACGUAGGUAUUUAAUUUGAUGUUAGAAUACAAAAAAUUCUAUUUCACCUUUUUCUAUUUUUUUUUUUUCAUUUUACGUUUUUGUUUCCCCUCUUUAUAUAUAUAUAUAUAUAUAUAUAUAUAUAUAUAUAUAUAUAUAUAUAUAUAUAUAUAUAUAUAUAUAUAUAUAUAUAUAUAUAUAUAUAUAUAUAUAUAUAUAAAAGUUUGUUAUACAAGCUAUAAAAUAUAUAGUUUUUAAGUUUUUUUUUAUCUGUUUUCCUUUAUUUGAAUUCAUAUAUUUGUUGAUGACAUUUUGAUUUUCAUCAUACUUAUAUGUAUACACAUGUGUAGUUUCACACAUCAUUGAAGCAUACAAUUUGUUUCCACAAUAAUUUGUCUAUAAUGAUAUCAGAGUCCUUUUUUUGAAGAGCUCUGUUACGUCAACUCUAACCACUCUUCCUUUCUUUUUUUUUUGUUUUCUUUUACUUCUUUCACAGUUUCUUGAGUAAUGUCUGAAGAGUAUAACAAUUCUUCUAGUUUCUUGUAUCUUAAUCCUAGUGAAAGUCUUGUCAUUUCUCUUGUGUCUCCUCUCUUGAAUUAAACAAUUAUAAUGCAUGGAACAAGUCUAUCUUUAUUGUAUUGAGUGCUGAAAACAAGGUCCAACUAGUUGAUGGAACUACUAUCGAACCGCACAAGGAGGACGCCUCUUUCAAUGCUUGAAAGAGGUGUAACAACAUGGUGGUGUCUUGGUUGGUUCACUCUAUCUCAUUGAACACACAAUACAAUAUUCUCUAGAAGGAAAGUGUUCAAGUCAUAUGGGAUUACUUGAAGUCCAUAUUUUUUCAGGGAGAUCUUUUACAUAUUUUAGAAUGAAGCUGGUUCAUUAAGAUUGGGAGAUAAUAUUGUUACAAAGUUUUUCACCAAACUCCACGUUAUAUAGGAUAAACUCGAGAGUUUAUGCCUUGAACCAAUGUGAUUGUGUGAAGUAAAAUGUUCUAGCAAGAUGAUUUCAAUAAUUGCACAAAAAAAACAUGAAUAUCAUCCAUUUCCUCGAGGUUUGAAUGAGCAAUAUGGUAACAUUCAAUAUUGUGUCCUUUUAAUUGAUCUCAUACCUUCCAUUUCAAAUAUUUUCUCAUAUGUUAUGCAACAAGAAAGACAAGUGAUGGGUAACUUUCUUAAUGGUGUAUAAAUGAAAGAUGAUGUUGCCAUCAAUAUUGUCACAUGCUCACAUUGUGGUAAAAUUGGUGACAGUGAAUAUAUUUGUUUUAAGAAACAAGGUUUUUGUAUCCAUAAGAAUCCAACAAAUAGAAAGUUGUGUUCCAAUUGUGGCAAAUAUGGUCAGACAGUUAUAUGUUCUAUAGAAAGCAUGGAUUUCCUCUUGGCCAAAAAUUUCAUAAUGGAAAAGGUUUCUUAUCCAAAAGUCAAGAAUUCAGAAGUCAAGAAUCCAGAACUGAUAGCCAAAGAGAAGCUCCUAAUCUUGAGAUGCGCCUAACACAACAAAAAUACCAAGCUCACAUGCCUCUUACCAAUCCUAUUAGUGACAUAGGAGCAACACCAAAUAUUUAAAUCAGUUCUAUAGUCUCUCAAUCUCCUAAUAUAGGUAAAAACAUUUUUAGUUUUAACUCAUAUGAAGAUAAGGGUAUUGUUUCCUAGAUCCUUGAUUCUGGUGCAACAUAUCAUAUUGUCUCUUCUCAUAAUCAUUUACAUUCCUAUGAAAAUAUUUUCCCUAUUAUUAUCAAUUUACCUAAUGGAAUAACGAUAAAAGCCACCCAUAAAAAAAUAGUUCAAAUUUGUGAUAAAAAUCCUCUUAAAAGAUAUUCUCUUUAUUCCAAAUUUCUGUUAUAAUUUCCUCUAUUUAUCUAAAUUCGUUGUACAUAAUAACAUACGCAUUACAUUUACUAGCAUUACAUUUACUAGCACAAUCUGUUUUAUUCAGAAUUCAACAAUAAACAGCAAGAUUGGUUCAGUUGAUUCAUAUGAAGGCUUAUACACUUUUCAUGGCCACAAUAGCACAUCUUACCUAUCUAUCAACUCUGCCAUCAAACAUCACAUAUGCAAGAUUGACGGUAAAUUCUUUGGCAUAAUCGUUUGAGCCUCAUGUUUGAUAGAAGAUUAGAUAUCUUGAAACAGAAAUAUUCCUACAUUGACUAUAGAACAAAUACUUGUAUUCUUAUGCUUCACAUGCUUUUGAUAUUAUCCAUUUUGAUAUUUGUAGACCUUGCUCCAAUGUUUCUCUACAUUCUCAUAAAUAUUUCUUAACCAUUAUUUAUUUUUAUACUUGGUACACCUAGGUGAAUUUAAUGAAAAAUAAAUCUGAAACCCUUUAGCACAUCCUUCAUUUCAUUUCUCAUGUUAAGAAUCAAUUUAAAACUAGUUUAAAGAUCACUAGGUUCGAUAAUGGCAUUGAGUUUACUGUGCAUGAUUACUUUAAUUCUAAAGGCAUAAUUCAUUAAAUUUCUUGCAAUGGAACACCUCAAUAAUGAUACAGUUUAAAGGAAACAUCAACAUCUCGUAAGUGUCACUAGAGCUUUACUUUUUCACUUUAAAAAUUUUGUUCAAUUAUGCACUUAUGCUAUAUAUUAUGCUACUAUCCUUAUCGAUAUUAUGCCUACAUCCUUCCUAAAUAAUGGUUCUCCAUAUGAAAAUCUAUAUGAGAAGGAUUUUGAUAUUAAUAGACUUAAAGUUUUUAGUUGCCUCUAUUAUGUCAGCACCAUUCAAGUAAAUCGACAAAAACAUGAUCCUCGUGCCAAGUCUAACAUCUUCCUUGGCUUGAAUCCUAUUACCAACGGCUACAUUACAUAUGGUCUUAAAAAUAAUGAUAUCAAAAUAUCUAGAAACAUUUUUUAUGAAAAUGAUUUUCCUGACAAAACCUCUACUACUAAUAACAAUCCACAUUUAUCUUUGCCUUUACAUGAUAAUAAACUCUUUUAUCAUAUGACCAAUCUCAUGAUGAAAAUACUAUUUCUGCCCAUUUAUAUAUGACCAAUCUCAUGAUGAAAAUACUACUUCUGACCAUUUAUAUGUUAUCGAUGAUGAGGAACAUAUAGAGAAUAAACUUCCUUCCCCUAGACGGUCCACUAGAAUAAGAAACCCACCUGCAUAUCUGAAGGAUUUUCAAAUAUAUUCCUUUAGCACAACUAAUACAAAAUACCCCAUUGAUAAUGUUCUAAUUAUCUCUUGCAUAAAGGCUCGCUUAAUAGCCAAGGCUUACACUCAAUUAAAGGUCAUUCACUACUUUAAAACCUUCUCUUAUGUGGUCAAACUCGUUAGCAUACGCUAUAUCAUAACCUUAGCCUUUACAAAGAACUGGCAUCUAAGAAAAUUAGAUAUAAAUAAUGCCUUCUUACAUGGUGAUUUGCAUGAAGAAGUGUACAUGCAAUUGCCAUAAGGAGUCAUUACACCGGAUAAAAAUCAAGCUUGUCUUCUCCACAAAUCACUUUAUGACUUGAAACAAGCUAGUCACCAAUUGUAUGACAAAUUAUCCUUUUUUCGUAUCUCUCACGACUUUACACAAAAAUUAGGUGAUCAUUCUCUAUUCACUAAACCCAAUGGUGAAAACAUUACUAUCAUGCUAGUUUAUGUUGAUGAUAUAAUCUUAACAGUAAUAACAUACAUGAUAUUAAUCCCACCACUAGCAUGUUUAAUGAUCAUUUCAAAAUUAAAAGCAAUGGAAAAAUAUUGAUCAACAAUUCCCUCAAUUUGGUAAAGAGUGUAGAAAUCUUAGGCUUGGUUUAGCCACUGAUGGAAUGAACUCAUUUGGUAAUCUAAGUACCAAUCAUAGUUGUUGGCCAGUUAUAUUGAUAAUUUACAACUUAUCUCCUGCAUUAUGCAUGAAGACAAAGUACAUGAUGUUGUUUAUGAUUUAUAUCUGAUCCAAAGCAGCCUGAAAAUGACAUAGAUGUUUAUCUAAGACCUUAGUUGAAGACUUGAAGUUCUAUUUCAGCAAGUAUGAUGUUGGUUGAGAGAUCAAUUGCUAACAGUAGAAAGCUUUCAUGGAUUGCUCUCAAGGUUUGGCAUAUGCUAAAGUCAUACUUUCUUAUAGUUGUUUUGUUUUAAUGAUUUUCACUAACUAUUUACAACUAUGAUGAUAUAUUGUAGUGUAACAGACAGAAUGGGUCAUAUGAGUGCGAAUACUAUGUAAUGUAUUGGAUGCUCACAUUAUUCGUGCCCAUAUCACAAGAGGUUGGGAAAUAAUAAUAUUUAAAUUUAAUGAAUUUUUAUUUUCUCCAACAUUUGGAAUUCAUAUACACUAAUUAAUAUCAAUUGUCUUGUGCAAAGAUUCAAGACUCCUACUCCAAUUCCUGAGAAGCCACUUAUAUUCAUGAGGAAAACUAUUGCAAAACAUUUAGUUAGAUUAUAUAAUAGUUCAUAGUUAUUAGAUUUAAAAUACAUUAGAACAUGUUGAUUUAUACUUAUUAGACUUUGUACAUUAUGUGAUGUAAAUAUUGACUAUUGUGUUGAAUCUAUGUAGUUAUGAUAUUGUUUGAUAUGCAGGUAUGUUUUUGUGAUAGUGGAUAUCACAAAAACAGAGCUACUAUUAAAAAAAUUUGUAAGAGAAUAGGUCGCGGUUGUGGCCAAAAUCGGGGUAGAAAGCCUACCUAUGGUUGUGGUUCAGCUACAACCGAGGCCAAAGGUUAUACGAAAAUUUAAAAAAAAAGGGUUUUGGUCACGGUUCCAGCAAGAACCGUUGUCAUAUCCCCAGGUUAUUACAGCAGUUGGAACCGCGGUCAAAGGUUACACGAAUUUUUUUUUUUAAAAAAAAAAGAGUUUUGGCCGCGGUUCAAGAAAGAACCAUUGUCAUAUCCCUAGGAUAUUAUCGCGGUUGCAACCGCGACCUAAAGUCUCAGACUUUUUAUCUCGUCAGUAUAUACCACGGUUCUAAAACCGCGACAUAUAUUCAAAAACAACCAUAGUCGUUUUCCUUCGCUACACUAGUGACAGUUCCAUAUAUGAUUGCAACAUACAAUUCGUUUCCAUAAUAACUCUUUUAUGACGUGAUUAAAUUUUUAUUAUGACUAACAUUCAAAUUUGAAAAUUUAUAAUAAGUUUACUAAAAUUUAUGUUAACAAUUAUGUUUAUAAACAGUAUUAUAAAAUAAUUUCGCAAUUGGUAAUAUUAAACUGAUCAUUAAAUUGCUAUAAUUUACUCACAUUAAGUUUAAAAGAAGUAAAAGAGUUAGAAGAAAAAGGAAAAUAAAGAAUUGACGGAGUUAAAAGUAAUAGUUUAGAAAAGAGAGAGUAGAUGAAAUAGAUUUUUUUUUUUUAAGUUUUCAAAGUUUUACCUUAACAAAAUUCUAAUAUAAAAUCGAAAAAACAGAACAAUCUUAAUCAAUUACAUGGUAUGCUUUAACAUUUUUUAAGGCUUAAAAUAUUUUAAAAACAAUUAAAUGAUUAAUAAUGUUUCAUAGAAGCAUUUUGAUGUUUUUAAAAUCAUACCUUUUUUUCACAGUGCAUACAUAAUAUAAAAUAAAAUUAUAAUGAUUACAGUAAAAUAUUUUUUUACUAAACUAAACCAUCUUACUUGAUUGAGAUGAAUGGGGUUGGUAUUUGUGAUAUGGGAUUGAUGUAUGAGGCUAAUAUAUUGUUUGUUAUGAUUGGGCACAGUAAUGGAAUUGACCUGAGAAAUGAUAGUGACAAAAGUGAGUAGGCAAUGAUGAUGAUGGUGAAAGUGGUCCAAACGAGGCUAAUUGAUUAAACUCUCAAAAACAUGCAUAUAGAUUUCUUUUUUCAUGCACUUCAUUUUUGUACUUGGAAUCUAAUGACUUUCUUACAUGUACACACACACUUAUGAUUGCCUUUUAUUUCAUUUUUCAAUUCUAAAAUAUAAAUAUUUUGUUUUGUAAUUUUAAAAUUAGAACUUUCAAUCUAACAAUUAAAAUAUUAAUAUUAACUUACACAUGGUAUUGUGGUAAAAAGAUUAUUUGUUUAUUUUAAGUCACUAGAAUUGUUUUAACAUUUACUUGAAUACAAUUAUAUAAUCUUAAUCAGCACCUAAAAACUUAAGUGUCAUGUUACUGUUUUAAAUUUUUGGCUUAUUAAUAUUAUUGAAAACUCAGUGUUUCAAGUCUCAUGAUAUUAACAUCACCUUAAUAAUUUUUUUUUUUCAAUUCCCAUAAUUAACAUUGAAAAUACUUAACCAAAUUAAAAGAUUAACUUCACUGACAAUUAAGUUUGUUAAAAUAGUUUUAAAAAUGACUAGUUAAAUUAAAUAUUUAGAGUUAAAUGUUAUUUUUAGUACCAAUGGUUAGUCUUUGUUAAUAAUGAAGUAAUAUUAAUAUCAUCAUGAUGUCAUUGUACUGAUUAAAUAUAAAAGUCGCAUGUCGUUAAAGAAGUAUAAGGUUUAAAAGUUGAAAUUGUGGAGUUUCUAGAGACUAAGUUUUAGUAUAAAAAUAAAGACCUAAAAUAUUAAAUAUUCCUCAUCUUCAUCUUUGCUCUACUAUUUUUUUUCUUAUCUCCAUUCCUUGCCAAAGUUUUAUCUUUUGUAAUUAGUUAAAAAAUAAGAGAUGAUUCAUAUAUAUAUAUAUAUAUAUAUAUAUAUAUAUGAGAGUUUGUUAAUACGCGUACGCCUAUUUUUCAGUUGGUACGUUUUAACAAUGUGUACCGGAUUAUAGUAGACAAAAAUACCCUCAUUUAUUAAGGAGUUUAAGUUUUAAGGUCAAGGAUAUUUAAAUAAUUUUCAUUCUCAAAACUAAAAAAAAAAAAAAAAAAAACCCAAACCCUUACUCACCUCCCUCAUUCCUCUCAAUCCUUUCUCUUUCAUCUCUCUCAAUCCUUUCUCUUUUAUCUCUCUCACUCCAACACAUUUUCUCUCUGUCAUCCUUAUUGCCCCAAUUGAAAAAAAAAAAAUCAGAAACUCUUGCCUAACCCUUGUCCUUUUCCCUUUACACAAAGUGUUUCUUUUUCCUUUCUCUAUUAGUAUGGAAUACAUGAUAUAAGAUUACAACCUAGAAUUGAAAGAAUUGUACUCCUAUGGAACUCUUCUAUACCUAUUUCUUUAAUUUCCUUAUGUCCCUUUUUUAUCACUGAAUCAACUUCUACAGGUGUUUAGAAUAAACUUUAACCACUGUGCAAGAUAAAAAACAAUAAAAUCAUUUUUUACCUUUGAGAUUUGGAAAGAGUAACGUAAAAUGACAAAGUUUAUAUUCAUUUUACACACAUUAAUAAAUAUAAAAUGAUUAUAAAAGAUUAAACUUUUUCAAUUUUUUAAAAAUAUCUCUAAUUCAAAUGACCAUCACCAUCUUCAAUUGAGUUGAGAUGAAAAAAAAAAUGUUGGAGUGAUGACAGAGAAAAUGUUGAGAUAAGAGAGAAAAUAUCUCUCAUGACAAAGGGUUUCUGAUUUUUUUUUCAAUUGGGCAACAGUAGGGAUGACAGAGAAAAAAAUGUUGGAGUGAGAGAGAUGAAAAAGAAAAUGUUGGAGUGGGAGAGAUGAAAGAGAAAGGAUUGAGAGGAAUGAGGGAGGUAAGUAAGGGUUUGGGGGUUUCUUUUUUUUAGUUUUGAGAAUGAAAAUUAUUUAAAUAUCCUCGACCUUAAAACUUAGAAUCCAUGAUAAAUGAGGGUAUUUUUGUCUACUAUAAUCUGGUACACAUUGUUAAAACGUACCAACUGAAAAACAGGCGUACGCGUGUUAACAAAUUAUAUAUAUAUAUAUAUAUAUAUAUAUAUAUGUGUGUGUGUUCUUAAAUUAUAAAAAAAAUACUAAAAAUAUAAAUAGUAAACCAAAACUAGAUAAUACUAUAAAGAAAAAGAAUAUAUAAAAGUUUUUGUUGUUGGUUGUGUUAUAACCUGUAGAGAAUCGUGAUCGAUAACAGUGCAGUGGUUAGAUUUCUUUAUAGUUAUCAUGAUUAUAAAUUAUAUAAAUGUACUUGCGAAUUCAUAGAUUUGACUUUACGAAUUACAAAUAAUAUCUCAUAGGAAAGGAUAUCAAACACUACCCACACAUAACAGCUGCAAUAUGCCAUUAUAAUAUGUAUGUUUUAAAUAAAAAAUUAUCACAGCAUAAGUAUUUAUUAAAUUUUAUUAUUUACUUUAUAGAUAUAGAUGUAGUCGAACGAAUAGUUAUAAAGUUGGAUUGGAUGAUUAUAUGACAUAGAAGUUAUUUUUAAUAUUAAAUUUAUUAAAAUAAAGUAUGAUUAUCUUAUAACUAGACUAUUCUCAAUCAAGAAUUGUUUAAAAAUUCUACACAAGAUCAAUUUAUAAUAUUUUAUUUUAUAAAUUGAUUUUGUAGAUUGAAUUAGUUUAUAUAACAAGAUCAUUAUGACAUUCUUUUCUAUCUACUAUCACACCACCUAUUAAAAUAAUUUCUAAAUAUACAUAAGAAAACAAAGAUUAGAAGAAGUAACUUAAAAAUAAACAAUUAAACUCUUUUACAAAUUAUACAACACGAUCUCAACUCAUAUACGAGACAAUUAUAAAUUACUUAAUUGCAGUUUGAGAUUAAAAUAAAGUUGGAAGAGGAAAAAAAAGUUAGAAAUAAGUUUUAUUUCACAUUUUACAAAUUAUAAAUAUAUAUGUAUAUAUAUAUAUAUAUAUAUAUAUAUAUAUAUAUAUAUAUAUAUUUAUUUAUUUAUUUGGUUUUUGUUUCUAAUGAUUGAGAGGAAUUAUAAGAAGAUACGUAAGAGGUUUGAAAGACUUUCAGUUUGUUGUACAAAUUAAUGAGUACUCUGACAGAAAAAAAAAACAACACCUUAAUUACGUCAACCAACAUACAUUGCUUCUUUUUCAAAGAUAAAAAUGUUGGAAAUAAGAUAACACUCAUAUAUUUAUAACUUUUAAAUAAAUGUAUAUUUACUAAUAAAGUAAUUGUCACCUCCACUAUUUUAUUUAAAAUGACAUAUUUAUUAAAAGUUAAAUAAUAAUAAAAAUAUGAAAAUCAAUGAUAUUGAUGUUGUGGAGAGAAUCCAUUGCAUGUAUCUAGAUACAUGAUUCCAAGUAUAUGAAAUGAGAUUUUGUAUGAAAUUAUAAAGGAUAAAUUGUUUGGAAAACAUAAUAUACGUACUUUCAUCUUCAACUUUAUAUUCUACAUUUAAUUUCAAGUAAUUAACUUUUACCAUUUUCUGGACCACAUUCACAUCACCGUAUAUAUUGCAUAUCCAUUUUUAGAUUCUUCUCCACUCAACAUCACCACUCAAUAUCACACAAUAAGGGUUUCUGAAGUCAAGGUUGAGGUUUAGAAUUCAAGUUCAUUGGAAAAUGGUAAAGGUUCUUGAACAAUCAUAGGUUGAAAGAUGGAGAGUAGGUUACACACAUCAACGUUCAAUAGCUUUUAAUUUGGGACAAAUUUUUAAACAUAUUUAGCAACCAACUCCUAUUCUGUUACUAAAACAAACUUAAUUUCAUAAACAAAUUAAUACUUUAAUUUUGCGACUCAAACAAUAACAUUCUUUCAGUCCUCGAAAUAACAUUUUCAGUUUAAUUUCAGUGGCCAUUAAUUUAGUAAAGAAAAUUUAGCUACCAAAUUAUCAAUCACUUUUCAAUCAUUCUACACAUUAAUGUGAGUAGAAAUUUAUUCCAUUGCAAUUUUGGUAGCUGAUUUACAAUGGUGACUAUUUUAAUCAGACUUUUAACAUAUUUAUUCACAUGACUAAAAUUGGUCACUAAAUAACUUAUUUAUUGUUGUUUCGAUUUAGGAAGUUGAGAGACUGUCUUCUUAUUUAAAUAAUUUUAUGUUUUCAAAUUCUAAUUGUCAAAUAGUUUUUAAAUCCUUUUUAAGUCAUUCAAUCCGUCUGGAAAAUACUUACAAAAGUAUUUAAAUGUUCAAGUCAAUGAAUUUAAUUAAUCAUAAGAAAAAAUGAGUUAUGAAAAGUAUAUCCUACUUUAAAAUGAAACUUAAAUUUAUAGAUUUUUUAAUAAAUUUUUAAUUAAGUCAAAAACUCGUUAAUUACUUAUUAAUGAUUUUUAUUAUAUUUUAUUAAUUAUUUAUUAUUUAUUAUUAACUUUUAUUUUCUGACACUCAUUAAUGAUUUUAAUUGUUCUAAUUAAUUAUCAGUUAAUUAUGACUCUUGAUCAUAUAAUCGAUUAUACUGUUAUUUAAUGGGAUAAUGAUAUUUAGAUAACAUUUUUUUGACAACAUUUGAACAUUGAUUACGUGUCAAUCUGUGAUUGGUCAAAAAUUACUCCACAAUAAUGUUUAUGAUUAUUAUUAUUGAUUAUGGAAUAAUUUUUGACUAAUCACAGAUUGACACGUAAUCAAUGUUCAAAUGUUGUCAAAAAAAUAUUGUCUAAAUAUCAUUAUCCUAUUUAAUGAUAUCCGAAGAGUCAUAUAUUAUAAUUGUUUUAUAACACAAUUUACCAUUCCCUAAAAUAUAAUUUAAUGGUAUUUUUAAUAUAUAAUAAUUAAAAGUUUGAAUUUAUAUAAAAAAGUGUUAAUUUUGUUUGAUAUAGAAGAGGUAUAGUGAUUGUAAUUAAACGCGGACGGUAGCGAAGGGUGGAGUGCGUGUAUAUCUGAAGGCAUUAUGGGAGGAAAUCUUAGCACUAGUUUUUGAAGGAGAAAAUUGAUGAAAGAAAUGUGUAACAUGCAAUUAUUGAUUGACACGUGGAUGAUUUAGCUUUGACGAUAAAACAUUUUCAGUGGCCUAGGCCGUACACUAUUCCACUCUCCACAUUCUUCCUCACAAUCAUUCUCUCACUAUUUUGUCACUUCUUACCGCCCAUUUCCACACCACAAUUUUCUCAUCAACAACACCUUUAUUCAAAUCUUAAUUAUCAAUUAAUCUUUUACACUUUUUAUAUUUUUAUUUUUAUUUUUGGAGCCUCCCUUAUUAAAUGAGACAAACUCACUCAUUUUGUUACUAUUAAAGGUAUAUUUAAAAAAUAUUUGCUUCAUUUAAAAGAAAAGAAAUCUAUAGAUUAAAAUUUGUUCUAAUAUAAAUUUAUUUUUUAUAAAUUCAUAAAAAUUCUUAUUUUCUUCUUUUUAUUCUUUCUAGAAUUAGUUUUAGAGAAACUUCUCCUAACAUAAAUUUUGCAAAUACUUAUAAUUGAUGAAAAGAAUUAAUUAAUCCAAUCAUUCAACGCAUUCUCCAGCAUUGGUAAAUAUAUACGAAAUGAAAGAAUUCGUAGGUAAUAACAACAUAAAAGCGAAUGAGGAAAAAUGAAUAAAGUGCAUCUUGACAUAGGUUAUACCCAAUGAGGUGUUUGAAAAUAAGUAUACCAAGACUAAAUUAGGAUAUCAUAGAAGGUCAUGUCUAAUAAUCUCGUCUUUCUUCAUUCAAAACAAAUUCCUUUUACAUUCUUUUUUUUCUAAAAUUCCAACUUUUGCUUCUUUCUUGUUUCCUUCUUCAACUCCCAUUUUCUUAUUUAGCCAUUUUUUUUAUUGAAGUAUGUGAUUUAUUUUAUUUUUCAUAUAGAUUAGGAUUUAUAGAAUAAUAAUGUAAGAAAUAUUUUUCAAAAUUAUUUCUUCAUCAACAUUAACAAAAAGUUUCUCAAUGAAAAAUAAUAAAAUUAUUUUUUGAUUCAUAAAAACUAAGGUUAACUUAAUGUAGUUUACUGAUGUUACAUUAUUAGUAUGUGAAGCACACAUUAAGAAUAUAUUAAGAAUAUAUUGCUUAAGACUACUUUGAGAUGUUUUUAAAUUGGUGUUACGACUAAGAGUCAACAUCAUGAAAGUAAGAUGGGUGAAACAAAAGAAGAGAAAGAUGUUUUGAAAAUCUUUUCUAGGAUAUUAUCUUAUAAUUUAGAGAUAAUCCCAGAAAAAACAAUUUUGGCAAGACAUGAUUGAUAAACUAGUAAAGAAGCUUACUAGUUGGAAAGGUGAGUUAUUUUCUUUUCUUGGUCGUAUAUGUUUUGUUGAGUUUAUCAUUUUAACCCUCUCAUUAUUUUUAUCUAUCCUUCUUCAAAGCAGCAGAAGAUAUAUGUAAAGUGUUUACAAAAAUACAAAGAAACUUUUUUUUUUGGGAUUGGAAGCCGAAAGAUUGAAAAAUUGCUUAGACUAAAUGGGAAAAAGUAUGUAAACCAAAGAAGUGGAUUGAUAAUAAGAGACAUCACAAGGUUUAACAUUGCUCAAUUAGAAAAAUUUAGAUGUGAAAAAUCAAGGCAUAUGGAAGGAGAUCUUAUAAUGUAGGGUAUAAAGAAUAAAAUCAAAUUUUAGGAGGAUAAAUAGGUAAGAAAAUAUCCACUCUAUUAUAUGUUUCCUAUACUAUUCGAUAUAUCAAAUUAUACGAGAAAAAGUAUAGGUGAGUUAAGGAAUGGAAUGGUAGUAGGUUGGAGUGGAAUUUGAUUUAGAUGAGAAAGUGGUUGGUGUGGAAAAUAGUUCAAGAACAAAAGUUCAUCCUUAUAAAGUGAGGUUUGCUCUCACUUAUAUAUUAUAAAUUGGCUUUAUAUCUAGUCGAUGUGGGACUUCCAACAACACCCCUCACGCCGAGGUAUAGACAUCAUCUCGAGCAGGAGAUUAGACAUUAAUGGGUAGUCCGAAAACGGGUGGAACAACAUGCCAAACAAACAACAAAUAUCGCUUGGAUAGACUCUAAACAUAGCUCUGAUACCAUGUUGAAAAGUGGACUUUAAGCAUAACUACCCCACAAAAUUGGCUUGUAAGGUAAGGUUUGCACCCACUUAUAUAUUAUAAAUUGUCCUUAUCUCUAGUCGAUGUGGAACUUCCAACAAAUAAAGCCUGCAUAUAACAAUCUGCAAUACAACAAGAGAAGAUAUUGGUUUGUUCAAUUCCUUUUGGAGUGUGUAGGAUGUAUUGAAUGCACAACACUUAAUGUGGAGAGUGUUAUUGGAUAAGGUAUCUACAAAAGAAAAUAUAGCACAAUGAGAAGUAUACCUAAAUAGCAUCAUGUAAAGUAAAGGAGGAAAAUGUCACAUAUUUAUUUUUCUUUAAUAAAAUAGCUUAAACAGUUUGUGAUCUAUGUGAUAGCUGAGUAGGAGUACGCGCACUACACCUAACCAUUCUAAAAUUAACUUCUAACAAUUUCAUCUAAUGGACCUAAAUGGGAAACUAAAUGAAACCUAGAAUGUAUUAUGGAUAGAAAUUAUAUGUGAGACAUGAAAACAUAAAAACAAAGCAAUAUUUUGGCAAGGGAAGGUAGAUGUUGAAGAAAUACUAUGUGUAAGACAAUUAAAUGCAUGACUAUGGAUGACACAAAAUAUCUAGUAUAAACUUUUAUAUUGUGACUCAUAUCAAUGCCCAGUCUAAUACUUAAAAUCAUUGUGAAACAAAGGUAGCUAGGAAUAUGUUUAAUAAAGUGUAGGUAAUCUAUAAUGCUAGCUACAUACUAAAGACAUUCAAACAAUAAUAUUUCUACAAAAGUUCAUAAAUAUGACUUUUCUUUAAGUAUAAGUUGAAUUCUAAACUUAACCAAUUGGGAUCUCCUUGAGGUGAAAAAGAGACCGUAUGGAUUGUUAGAAUUAAACACCAACUCAUUACUAUGUUGCAUCUUGACAAAUCUAUGUUGAAUUGUUUAUAUAUUGGAAGGGCAUACUAUGUCAAUAAAUUGAAGACUUAGUAAAUUUAAAAAGUUCUAAAAAUACAUAUUUGGAUAGUGGGGUUUUAACCUUGAUGUGAAAUUGUAGUGAUUGUGUUAUAAUUGUUGUUCAAUUAUAAAAUAUAUUUUUCUAGUUUAAUUCAUAUAUUAUGAUUCUGCAAAUGAAAAUAUACUGCUACAAUAUUUGUUAUGACUCUAAGAUUAGAAAUAACAAAAGUGAAAACAAAGUUAAAUAAGAACUUGAAGAAAAAGAAAAGUGAGAUGUGAUUAAACCCAAGUGUUGCAUUUUAAUGUAGAGUGAUGAAGCAAGUAUAUAAUAAUUAAGGGGAAAGCUCAUUUUAUCGUAUGAUCGGUCGGUCACUCAUUGACUGGACGAUUAACGUUUCCAGAAGAACAUUGAGAAUAUCAUUUCCAACCUCAAUUUUUACAAACCGAACGACCACUCAUCAAACUGUUCGAUCAUGAAUCUAUUAGGCACCCGUAUUAUAAAUUGAACAUAUUUACAUGUAAAAUGCACUUAUCCACUUUUAGGUCUUGAUUAGGCCAACUCUAAUUAAAAGUCCAUUUUGAAACCUAUUACUAUCAAAAUGGGUUAGAACCUACGGACCAACCCGUCUCACCACAGGUUCGGACCGAGUUGUGUUUGAAAAAAAUGAAUUUUUUUUAUACGGGUCAAUUUUCAACUCAGCUCAUUUAGAACCAGACUCACCUGGAUUGAAUCUAUGGUGAGUCGGUUUGGCUCACCAACCCACCUAGUCUAAUUUAAUUAUUUAUUAUUUUAUGUUUUAAUAUUAUUAGUUAGCAUAUUUUGUUUUUAUUCUAUUGUAAAUGAGAAUAAAGAAAAAAAUGUUUCAAGAGAACAAAAUAUUAUAAAUUUAUCCAUUCAAGAUUAUAAUCUUAUAAAUUGAUAAAUGACACAAAAAUUAUCAAUCUUAUAAAUUUAUUUAUUCUUUUUUUGGGUCUCCUUAUAUUUGAGUUGUAUGUUAAUUGUUUUUUUUUUUUAAUUGCCUUUGGAGUUUAACAUCAUUUUAUAGUAAAAUUAUUUAAAUUUGAAUUACAAAAAAAAUGUAUUUUUUUUAAUUUAAAAAAAAACUAGUAAUUAAGCGAGUCAGUGAAUCAAUCCGUUUAACCUACCAACCCGUGGUGGACUAAGUUAGAUUCGAAUUUUUUUAACUCGCUAAUAAAUGAGUCGGAUUGGAUCGGCUCGGGUGACCCAUUUUGAGAGUACUAUGAAAACCUAUAAAUAUAGAGAUAAAAUAAGGAUAUAGAUGAUUGCAUUUAUUGUGAACUUAAGACUUUAUUGUAAUAAAUGAUCAACCAUAUAACUAACUUCAAUGUUGGAAUAGUGUUCAUACAACUUAGAGUUUGAAUAAUGAGAACUGAAUAUAAUUUUGUAACAGACACAUGAGAUUAUGAUAGUAGAAUGGAAAAAACAUAUAAAUAAAUGUUUUAAUUGUAAUUCUCACCCUCCCAUCCGAAACACUCAUGAAUCUAACUAGAUAUAUGAAAAAGUUGAAUAGUGGAGAAAUUUGUCUAUUUAUAAUUUAAAUAUAUAAACAACUACAAAUUUUAAUUUUUUUUAAUGAAAUGAUAUUCAAAACAUAAAAUAGGUUUAUUUUGCUUAUCGGAACAUAUUUUUUGCUUAAGUGGGAAAAAAUAUAUAUACACAUAUUUUAUAAACUGUUAGAACACUUUUAAUGUUUAAUUAUAUAUAAAUAUAUAUAUAUAUAUAUAUAUAGAUAUAUACUUUUUUAUUAUAUAUAAAUCAUAUAUUUGUAUUAAUAUUUUGUAACGAUUUUUCUAAUUACUGUCCCGUAUGUCAUUUAUUCGAAGUUGGUCAUAAUUUUUUCUAAUAGCAAUCUAAGAAAUUAAAAAAAAAGAUUAUUUUUGUUAAUGUCAAUUGGGGAAAAUAUUUAGUUAAUAUUAGUUAAAAACAUAAUAAAAUAGUUAAGUAAGAACAUCUAAUUUUUAACCUUAGUAAAUAUAAACAAAAAUAAUUAGUAUCAAAUUAAUUAAAAAUAAUCAUAACGGAUACUAAUAAUAAAGUUUUUGGAUAAAACGUCUUAACUAUCGAGAAAUACUAAAAACAUAUUUUUAAAUUAUGAAAUAAUUAUUCUUUAAUACUUAACCUUUUAUAUUUAGUGUUAAUUGAAAGAUUUUAUAAAAAAUUGGAAUUUAUUAAACUUCAAUUAACUUAUUUAAAUAAAGUAUUGAAAAAUAAAUCAAUUAAAUUAAAUUUAUUCAAAUUUUUUAAAAUUAGUUGAUAUCAAAGUUACGAUAAAGAUAUUAAUCUCCUAUGAAACCAAGGAGGGGAUAAGUGUUUUUAAAUUAUCUAUAAGUGGGAGUCAUUCUUGUCCUCUGAUUUUGGAAAUAAAUUUUCGAAUUUUAAAAAGGAUAAAACUUUUAAGAAAAUUUGUAAAUGAUAGAGAAAGAUAACUAAACUUUAUUCGAUAUCAAUGUUUCCCAUAACCCAUUAGGACCAACCUAUUUCUAGGGAAAGGUUUAUCUAAUUCACAUCAAGUUUUAGGUUCAAAUAUGAUUACUCUAAUUGUAAAAGAUAUAAUAUUUUCUCAUUUACAAGCUUCAAAUCUUCAUUUAAUGAAUAUUGAAUCACAUCACCUUUUCUUUUCUUUGUUCUUCUCUUUCUUAUUUUUCUCAUUUUUCUUUUUAAGUUAUUUAUUCUUUCAAAGCAUAAUAAUAGUUCUUUUUUUUAAGUUUUCCUUUCCUAUUCAUCUAAAAAAUGAAAGCAUAACGUCUCCUCUACUACUAUCCAAAUUAAAAGUACUGAACCAAUGUAAACACUAGAAAAUGCUUUGAAAACUAUUGACAAAAAGGAUAAUUUGAUAGAGUGAAACUUUGUGACUCCAAAAGAGAACAAAAAGUAUUAAAUUAAAGAAAAAUAUAAAUCCUUAAAUCGGUAAUUUCUUAAAAUUGUUGCAAAUUGAGUGAAAUUUCUUAUUCAUCUUUAUUUUAAGAUUUUAUUGUCCUUUUUCUUUUUUUUUUUCAUAUGUGGUAAAGGUAUUGGAAAUCUUAUAUUGAUUACAGAUAAAAUCCAAUUAUAAUAUAUAAGUGAGGUAUAAAUUUCAUCUUACAAACUGAUUUUGUAAAAUUAAGUUAGACUUAAAUUCACUCUCUAAUUUAGUAUCAGAAUCAUUAUUAAAGACCACUUAGGACUAUGUGGAAAUGAAAUGAAAACUUAAAUUGCUAUUAUAAUGAAUUUACCUGGUAUCUUGUAACUUAAUUUCUGCUAGUAAUGAGUACUUGGAAAGUUUGUCCUAAUAUGUGUUGAAUUUCAAAGAUUUUUCGCACCAUAACAAAGUCGUUUUGCAUUACAUUAGUGAAAAAUUUUUCUUCUAAAGAUUUAGUGUUAGUGCACAUAUUAAAAUUGGAGACUCUUAUUACCCUCGAUAAACAUAUUAAAGAACACAUUUUAUUAAGUUUUUUUUAUUAUAAAGUAACCAAAUCUACAUUCAUAUUAUCUCGGUAGUUUAGCGUUAUCGUUAUUAUUUAUCAUUUUAUUAUUAUUAACUAUAUUAUUAUUAUAUGUUUGAGAUAAAUAUUAUUUCAAUGAAAAAAUAAACCUAUAAUCCAUAUUAAUCUUAUAAAUUUAAUUAAUAUUUUUCAAAUAAUACUUACUUUAUAAUUAGUCAUACAUAAUUAAUAUAUUUAUAAAGAUCUUAAACUCAUUUCCUAAUUUGAGCAUUAAAAAGUGUUUUGCUAAUAAAUCUCCCCUUUGAACAGCAAAUAAUCUCAUUCUAAUCGAUAAAAACUCUCAAAGCCACCACAAAGAUUUUACUAUCUGCUGACAAAUCCACGUUCAAAUCCUAAUAAUAACAUAUACUUUUUAUUAUAUUGAAACAAUUCACAUAUUCAUUGGUGAGUUAAAAAUAUUAUUAAUUUACGCUCUUCCAUCCAAUUUAGGAAAAGUUUUUAACAGGUGUUUAUAAAAAAAACAAACUCUUCUAUAAAUUAAAAUUUAAUUCAUAAACUUUAUUUUUUUACCAUUUUUCUAAAUGAAAUUUUAUGAUUAAAUUUUAAAUGAUAGUUUACUUAUUUUGCCUCUUAUUUAUCUUUCUUGUCCCAAGUUUUCGCCCUUUUUGUCUAAUCUCUUCCUCAUUCAAAUAAUCAAAAAUAUAUUCGUCCUUUUUUCUUUUUGGGUGAUACUUUUUUAUUCAUUCUUCUCUUACGUAGAAAUGGACACAUUGAUGGGCUGGUUCGAUCAGCCCAAUACGAAUUAGGUUGAAUUUUUAAAAGGGUGUUUCAUCCUCCACCUCCAAGACUUCAUCCUGCACCUCCAACUUUUUCAAAAGAUUUAUUUUUAACUUUAGUAAAUAUCUUUUUUACUUUCCACUUUCUAUUUAAAGUAAUCUUACAUUUUUACCUUUGCAUCUUUUUAACAAAAUUUUUAUAACUUUAUCUUUUAUUUAUAACUUUAUAAUUAUUUAAUUUAAUUUAAAAACCAAAUAUUAUUUAAUAUUUUUUUGUAUUUUAAUAAUUAAUAAAAUAUAAUUUUUUUCCUUUAAAUUAAAUUAUAAUUAAAUUUUAAAUAGAAAAUAAAAUUUAAGAAAAAGUUAUCGGAUAUACAAAAGUUUUUAAUNNNNNNNNNNNNNNNNNNNNNNNNNNNNNNNNNNNNNNNNNNNNNNNNNNNNNNNNNNNNNNNNNNNNNNNNNNNNNNNNNNNNNNNNNNNNNNNNNNNNNNNNNNNNNNNNNNNNNNNNNNNNNNNNNNNNNNNNNNNNNNNNNNNNNNNNNNNNNNNNNNNNNNNNNNNNNNNNNNNNNNNNNNNNNNNNNNNNNNNNNNNNNNNNNNNNNNNNNNNNNNNNNNNNNNNNNNNNNNNNNNNNNNNNNNNNNNNNNNNNNNNNNNNNNNNNNNNNNNNNNNNNNNNNNNNNNNNNNNNNNNNNNNNNNNNNNNNNNNNNNNNNNNNNNNNNNNNNNNNNNNNNNNNNNNNNNNNNNNNNNNNNNNNNNNNNNNNNNNNNNNNNNNNNNNNNNNNNNNNNNNNNNNNNNNNNNNNNNNNNNNNNNNNNNNNNNNNNNNNNNNNNNNNNNNNNNNNNNNNNNNNNNNNNNNNNNNNNNNNNNNNNNNNNNNNNNNNNNNNNNNNNNNNNNNNNNNNNNNNNNNNNNNNNNNNNNNNNNNNNNNNNNNNNNNNNNNNNNNNNNNNNNNNNNNNNNNNNNNNNNNNNNNNNNNNNNNNNNNNNNNNNNNNNNNNNNNNNNNNNNNNNNNNNNNNNNNNNNNNNNNNNNNNNNNNNNNNNNNNNNNNNNNNNNNNNNNNNNNNNNNNNNNNNNNNNNNNNNNNNNNNNNNNNNNNNNNNNNNNNNNNNNNNNNNNNNNNNNNNNNNNNNNNNNNNNNNNNNNNNNNNNNNNNNNNNNNNNNNNNNNNNNNNNNNNNNNNUUUUAUUUUUAUUACUUUUAUUUUAAUUAUUUUAAUUUUAAUUUUAGUAAUAUAAUUAUUAUAAUAAUAUAAAUUAUAUUUUAAUAAUUAUUAAAAUAUGAAAAAAUAUUAAAUAAUAUUAGAUUUUUAAAUUAAAUUAAAGAGUUAUUAAAAUAUAAAUAAAAGACAGUUUUGAAAAAAAUUUGAAAAGGAUACAAAGUUAAAAAAUGUAGGAUUAUUCUAAAUAGAAAGAAAAAAAGUAAAAAAUAUAUUUACUAAAGUUAAAAAAUAAAGUUUUGAAAAAGUUAGAAAUACAAGAUUACCAGAGAUGCAGGAUGAAACACCUUACUUUAAAUAGAAAGUGAAAAGUAAAAAAAAUAUUUAGUAAAGUUAAAAGUAAAUUUUUAAAAAAGUUGGAGGUGCAGGAUGAAACCUUUGGAGGUGUAGGAUGAAACACCCUUUUUAAAAUUUAAUUCUGGUACUAUUUGUGCCCGAGAAGGCCCAACCUGGAGUAAGAUGAGUCGGGAGGAAUAGCCCAUUUGCCUAGUUUGUCAUUUUAUUAUUAUUUUUUACGGUUAAUUUAUUCUGCACGAUGAAUAAUAUUUUUAAUUUCUAACACUUCUUUAUCGUUACAACCUAAUAUUUCUUUUUUCAGUUAAUAGUGAAUAAAAAUGUUUUAUUAUGUUAGUUCACAUAUACUAACACAAUUUCUUAAUCUUCAUUCUCAUCCAUGUUUACCAUGUGGCGAUGCAUGAUAAGGUGACAACGUAGGAGUUGUCACUGUCAACCUCGUCCGUCUCGUGAUAAUGAAUGCAAAACAUUCUAAAUAAGAGUAGUUGAGAUUCAAAGGAAUAACACAAGAAACACAAGAUUAAUGAGAAUAUCUAGAUUGAUUUCGUAUUGAGACAUUGAAUGAUGAGUUAUCUAUAAGAAUAUAUAAGGUGGUAUCAUUUCCAACUGAAAUGGAAUUCUGGUAGUAAGUGUGACUAAAAUGAAAGAACAUAAAGAACAUGAUAACUGAACAUGGAAACACAAUACAAAUGUAGAUUGAAGAAUCAAAAACUAAAAGAACUCAAAGUCCAGAUAUUUACCCCCAGACUUCAUCUCAUUAUUACCUCCCAUCUUCUUACUACUAUUGUUCAUGCCAACCCCAACAGUAUCAACUGCUUCAAACUUUGCUGCUACAACAUCACAUUCAACUGCUCUUGGAACUUCUGGUGGAGUGCUGCACCUGAUCAACGCCCAGUUCACGCCUUCAAAGAACGGGUGCUGUUUGAUCUCAGUCGCACCCCUCUUCACUCCCAGCCGGUGCUGCGGCUCCUUCACCAGCAGGCACCGGAUGAGAUCACGGCUCGCAUAACUGGUGGCCGGUGACUCCGGAAAUCUGAGCUGCUGGCCUACUACGUUGAAAAGGGUCGCGCGGUUUCCUGACCCUUUGAAAGGGGUUUUACCAUAUAAUAGUUCAUGCAAGAAAAUCCCAAAUGUCCACCAAUCCACUGCACUUCCAUGACCUUCUCCUUUGAUGAUUUCGGGAGCAAGGUAUUCGUGAGUGCCCACAAAAGACAUGGACCGAGCAGUUGUUGGUUCUGCAACAAGCUCAGGAAGUGUGCUGGAUGCCAGGCCAGGAUCCGCUUUAGGCCUCCGUGACUUCUUAUUUUUCUGAGCAAAAAGGCGAGGCAUGAAACAUGAAGGCUGGAUGCAUACCGAUGAAGGCUCCAUACAAGCCGGCUGCACACAGAAUGCGCCACCGGCUCGUUUGGAGGGAUCCCCGUCAAUAUUUCUGAUAAGGGUAGGUGAAACAGCACAUCUGAGAGAGAGAUCGAAGUCUGAGAGCAUUAUGUGACCAUCAUCUCUUACCAGUACGUUUUCAGGUUUAAGGUCUCUGUACACCACUCCAAGCAUAUGAAGGUAUUCAAGUGCCAACAGAACCUCUGCUGCAUAAAAGCUACACAGCAUGACAAGCAUUUUAUUAGUCAUAACAUGAAAGGAAAAUUACAUUUUCCAAAAUGCACCAUUCAUGUAGAAACAUACAUAUUUGCCAAUUGUAUUAUACACUGGUUAGGAUUUUUUGACAUCUUCCUAUUGUUUCAGACUUCAUAGAGAAGUGACUCUGCAUGCUAUGGAACAACCUAGCAUUUCAUAUAAAGCCACACUGAUAUAAGAAUAGUUACAGCAUCAAUGUGCUGUUACCUUAUUUUUUAUAUAAGGAGAACCAGAACUAGGCAACUUUAAUCCAAUUCAGGAAAAAAGCAAGGUGAAAAAGGAAAAACGAGCUUUUAACACAUUAGUAUUGUUCAUGGCAUCCUAGCAGUCUGAAUUAUCUCGGCCUGCAGAAGACCUUCAAUGCAGAAAAUUCUUCUGCCUUAUACCUAUCGUUAAUGCAAGAGCAUUCUGGCAAUGUCACUAAAGCUACUUUAUUAUCUAGCCAACCUACUUUAUAUAAGCGGCUAUGUCUCAAUUUUCAUACUGCAGCACAACCGUAUGACUUUAAUAUUUAUAGCACCAUUGGAAAAUCAACAAUGUCCUCUGCAUAAUUGUUAAGAAAAAUAUAAUCAUCGUGUAUAGUAUCAUCAACAGCACAAAAUAUGAAAGGAAUCAACAAUCAAAAUACAGAUGAAUACAUAAAGGUCACAGACUAGAAAAAGGAGAUCUUCACAACUGAAAGCAGCUACUCACAGUUCUGAUAAAUGAAUGUGUAUUUGUAUCUGUAAAGUUCAAAGCAUACCGUGCAGCAUACUCCAAGAAAUGUUUCCCAGGUUGUCUUUGCCUUAAGGUGUGAAGAUCACCCCCUGGACAGUAUUCCAUUACCAAACAGCAGAAUCUGUCGGUCUCAAAAUGUGUAUACAAAGUAGGCAGAAAUGGAUGAUCAAGCAACUGCAAUAUCUCUCUUUCUGUCUGAGCCCUAGUCAGCUUAUUUCUGCUUGCUAAGGAUGCCUUGUCCAUAACUUUCAUUGCAAAAAAGCAUCGAGUUGCACUAAGCUCUGAGAGAUACACACUUCCAAUAUCACCACAACCAAGUCGUUUGAGUAACCUGAAGUGACUCAUGCCAAGAAUUCCGUCCCGUGCUCGGAUGGCAAGGAUAGCCUUCCAUCUAGGAUCAUUUCCCUUGUGUGGCUUAUUGGCACUACCAGUUAUGUUACUCCAGUUGCUGUCAUCACUGAGGCCACUGCUAUCACUUGCUCGACUAGCACUAGUUUUUGCACUCUCCAGUGAUUCGCCUCUAACACUUCCUUUAGUGCUAUCACAAUUCCUGUCCAAACUAAGCAUUCCAUCGCUAGUGACUGCAUCACUCCGGUAUGUACUUGCACAACUAUUAACGAUGCUCAUUGUUCUGACAACACUAGUACUAUCAAUACUACUAAGGGGACUAACAUUACCACUUGGAGGCAAAGAUGCAUCCCAAACACAUUCUUUCUCCUCAGAAUCUGGAGCAGGAGGAGAGUUCUCGGUAUUCUGAGAUGCACGAGCACCUGAAAGUGGCGAGGGUAUGUUAUGUGUCUCAUUUGACUCACCAACCAGGCUUUCUGCAGGAGAAACAACAGCCAUGCUUUGUUUCUUGGCAGGAACACAAAUUGAAAGAUCUUCUAAGAAAGGACCAGGACCCUUCAAGGACACACUCUUCAUCAAGCAUGCUGCCUCAGAUUUGGUUUGACCUAUUGGCACAUAAACCGUUCUCAUAAGAUCAGUAUCAACAGGUUCUGGGGGAUGACUUGCACCAGCAAAUGAACUUGGACCAGUUUCCCCUAAAGAAUCAUUGCUACCCUUCAAUGUCUGAAUAUCAGGCACAAGUUCUACGGCUUCAGGUAAAGAGCUCUUUCCUUUCCACAUUCUUGUAGGAACAGGGGAGGGAGGCUCUUGACAGGACCGUGUAUCGAACCCCAUAUCCUCUCUAACCAAAACUAUUCGUGCAUUUGAUAACUGAGCCACUUCUCUUAUGGAGGCUAGACGUGUCAUGGGGCCAUCUCGUGACUUUGAAAACUGAUUCCCUUCUCUUGAUGGAAUCCCUCUCACACCCGAAACAUCCUGCGCAUUUAGUCUUUGACCAGCUUCUCUCAUUGCAGCAGUGUGCGCAUUAGAUACCUCAACCAGAACAGGUAAUGACCGAGGAAGUACCUUUGGCUCUGCAACCCUCUCCAUAUCCCAAUAUCACAUAUCAUCAAACGACGACUUCUAGUUAAGAAAACCCUGCAAAUUCAGCAAAGAACUAACUUAACAGAAGAUUCACUCAACUUGAAUUACUGUGUAUUUUUAAUUUAAAACCAAUUAUCAAGUGAAAAAGCCGGGAACCGAGUAAAAUAACAAGAACAUGGAAUGAAAGAAUAAAGUAGUCUUAUUCUUCUUGGUAGUGACAAGUGGUAACUGCGGAAAGCACAAACAGCAUCAUAAAUUGGAUCCACAGAGAAACGACAAAUGUAGAAAGCUCAAUUUAAUAUCUUGAAACAUCAAGCACAAGAAAUCAUAGACACCAUGAAAACAAAGCCGACUGUAAAUUCUUUUUCCCAAUACUAAACACGCAGCAUAAACUGAAUAUAAAGGAGCUUAAAUUGUUAAAGUUUGAAAAUUGAUGCCUGAUAAUCAGACACAGACCCAAUGAUAAGAUAAUCUCAAAGUACAAACCUUUGAGCAAGAAAACUCAACUUCAGAGGAAAUAAGAAACAUACAGAGAUAGAGAGAAGAACCAAAAAAUAAUGACAACAAGAGGUGGAGAAAUGUUAAAAAAUGUAAAAACUCCCAAUCUUCUAUUUUGUUUCCAUUGGAAAACCAUGACCCAAAACACGUCAAACAAAAGAAAACAAAGAGGGAAAAAAAAUGAUGAAAGAAAGAGAGAUCUAGGCACCCAAAAGCAUAAUAGGCAGAAAGGAUAGAGACCCACCAUUGAAAUGAUGAAGAAAAACAAUGGGUAUCCUUUUGUCUUCUUUCAGAACUGAACUGAGAGGUUGUUCACAGUUGGCUUCAGGCUGCAGAAGAGAAACAAGAAAAGUGUCUCUCUUGAGUGAGAAGGUGUGAAAGGUGGGAGAAGAUUGGAAGAUGAAGCAAUAACAGAAAAACAAAAGGUUGAGGAGGGAUGCUUUUGUUUUUUAUUCCUUUUAGUUGUUUAUUUUGUUGGUGUGUGUCUUUCUCUCUCACUAGAAUAGAAUAGAAGUGAGUUUGUGUUUCUCUGUCUAGGGAAGGGGCUGUGUGUGACUGACUGGGGAACUAAAGUGGUGUUGGAGAUAGUUAUGGUUAGCUUUUGCUUUCUCUUUUUGAUUUUUGGCAUUUGAAUGAGUGAGAAGAAGUUAAUGAUGGAAGGUAGUAGUAGCAUAGUACUACACUUUGUUCACAGAGACACACAGAGAGAGAAAGUGGGGCCAUGCAUGUUCCUUCUUUGUGGUACACUGCUUUUCAAAGGUGGGACUCAAUCAAACAAAGAAAGUGAAUGCCCAACUCUAACCUAUUUUUGUGUUUUUUUUUUCAAGUAUCUCUGUUUUCAGAUUCUGGUAUUGGCACGUGCCAAUCACUCCCGUCAAUUUUCUUUCACUUAUUUAUUUUACUCUUUAAUAUAUAUUUUACAACUACCAUUAAUAUUUUUUACAUGAUAAACAAUCUGAAAUUUACAUGUUUGGAUUAUAUAUUACAGGUAAUACUUACAUUGGGAUACGCCAUUAAACAUAUUAUUAACUCCUUAAGAAUAAAAUAGUUCUUUGUUUUCAUUUAGAGUAGUUCUCAACUCAAACUUUUUAUAUUAAAAAGUUCUCAAUUUAUUAAUUUAAACAAAUAAGAAAAAUAUAAAUAAAAUAAAUUUAGAAAAUUGGAAUAAAUAAUUUAUAAAAAAAAAUCAUUCAGAAAGUCAUUACGAAUAUAAUCUGAAAGAAACCAUUAUUGAGGAGGUUCUGGAGAUUUUGUCUUUUUGUGGGUUUAUUUAUUUAUUCAUUCCUUUAUUUAUAUUUUGGUGAAGAUGGAUAUUCGGAAUGCUGAAGAUAUUAGGGUUUGGAAGAAUCCUCUGAUUGGCUUAGCUUCGUUGCUUGCUGUUCCUAAAUGCUUUUCAGCAUAUUCUUUUAUUUUCUCUUCUUUUCUUUCUAACCCUAAUCAACAAAUCUUAUACUAUAUUUUCAUUAUUAUUAAGUUUAAUUAUGUUUAAAAUUAGUAAUAAAUUUGGAAUUUUUUAAUAAUUUUAUAUUUUUCAAUUGAAUUUCAUUAUUAAACUUUUAUAUCAGUAGUGUAACUUUUAAGUAUUGUUAUCACCUUACUCAUUUAUCACCAUAUGUUAUUGUAUAAUUUUAUAAAUGUUACGACAACUCAACAAAAUUAACAUAAGAAAAUAACCAUCAUAUUAAUCACUUAACAGUCAUAUAAUUUAAUUAAUAAAAGAAUUUAAAAAUAAAAACUCAAUUAAACAAUAUAAAUUCAUUGAAUCAUAAAAUAAAAUAAGAACUCAAAUUAAAGUUUAUAAAUGUAGCUCAAAACCUAAUUAAAUUGUAUUAUUAUAAAAUUAUUAAUAUAAGGUAUAUUUCAGACCAAAAUUAUCCUAAAUUUAUGGUGAUUGUUUUUGUUACAUUUACUGUUGAAAAAACAUCUUGUUUGUUUAUGAAAAACACCUUAAAUACAUUAUUAAUUGUUUCUAUGUUGAAUAAGGUUAAGCUAUGUAUCAAUUAGAAAUUAAAUAUUUUGUAAGAUUUUAAAUUAAAUAUGAUAAUAAAAUUAAAAAAAAUCUAAUAACGAGAAUAAUAAUUGCCUAAAAAUAUUAUUAAAAUAAUAAAUAAAUAAAAUAAAGUAUUAAUCACAAGUAAAUUAUUUUAUUUAUUAUUCACUUUCCACUUUCUACUUUUUUCUUUUUUCUUUUUCCAGUUCUCUAUUUUCUAUCAAUUAAUCCAAACGAAAACAGAUGGUAUGUUCUCAGCACUUAUUUUUAACAACAAUUUUCGCGUUUAUUCUUACUAUAAGUGAUUCAUGACCAACACAAAAAUUGUUAUACAUGGUUAAUUUCCGAGUCUUGUUUUUUGAGAUUUUUUUUUUGUAAUUUUCAAAAUUAAAGACAACAUUAAUUACUAUUUUAUCAUCAAUACUUUCAUAUUCAUGAGAGAUUUAUUACAAUAAAAAAGCUUACCAAUAUUUUAUUAUAAAAUUCUUAGAUUUUAAAAAAAAAAAAUCUUAAACUACGCUUAAAAAAAGCCAUCAACUAAAGUUGCAAGAAUAAAAUAAUUGCCUUGAAAUUAGUUUCAUUGUAAUGACGAAAAUACUUUCUUGGCCAUUAAAAUGCUAUUGCAGAGUACAUCAAUGAUUGUUGUUCAUAUUUCCCAAUGAGAUGCUUGUUUUUAGAUAAGCAAUUACAAAUUUAAAUUAAUAAAUUGAUUAAUAACAAAUACUUUUGUAUAAUUAUAAUUAAAAGUAAACAUAUAAUAAAGUUGAGGAAAAAGAAAAGUCUCAAGUCAAAACAAGUUAACAUUUCAAUGCAUUACUCAAACUUGAACUUCAUAUUUAGACAACAUAUUUUUAAUAAUAUUUGAACAUUAUUUACGUAUUAUUUUGUGAUUGGUCUAAAAUUAUUUUAUAAUCAAUAAUAAUCAUAAACAUCAUCAUAAACCAAUUACAGAAUAAUAUGUAUAUAAUAUUUAAAUGUUAUAAAAAAAUAUUGUCUAAAUAUCGUUAUCCGAACGUAAAUAACCUUAUAAGUCGUACUUUCUUGAAAAAGAAAUCUUAAACCAAAAGUGUAAUUAAACUAAAAAUAAAAUGGACGCAAUAUUUAAAAUAAAAGCUUGACCAAACUUGAUGAGGGUUAUACCAAAUUAGGUGAUGAGAAAAUAGAUAAAGGUAUUCAAACCCCACCAUGUGAGUUACCUUACACCCGUCAUUUUUCUUCUAUACUGACAACGUAGGUUGGUGUGUUAUGUCAAAAUAUAUAUACAUUUCUGAAAAUUCAAAGAAACCACAUUUUAAUGCAUGUUAAUACGUGUUUGCUUCUGCUAUUAUUUAAAAAAUCUUUUUUUCUUCUGCACAUCUAGCUUUGUUGUUUAAAUGGAAUCUUAGGUGGAGUUUAAGAUCAGAUAAAAAAAAGUAAAACUAGUACUGUUUUGUGAUUUUUAAUAUUCUUUAUUUAAUAAUAAAAACGUAUUCAAUAUAUCAAAGAAGGAGUGCUAACAUGGCUUAAAAAACUAUAUCUACUAGUCAAAAGGAUUUUAAUUCUACAAAGAAAAUGGUAAUAAAAGUCAAGAUAUGACAUAUUUUUACUAGUAUAUUUACUAAUGAAAAAAAAAAAAAAAAGAGGUAAUUAUUAGUUCACAUUUUGCAUUGAUGAACCUAUUCUAAUACGUUCAAUCCUCAAGAUGAAAAGAUGUCUUAAGGUAAUGAAUUUUGUGAGAACAUUGAUAAUUAAGGUGGAACGUUAUUAUAUAGUUGAAGAAAGUGAAUAUUUUUUUAUUGGAAAUGUUAUGUAAAAAAUGGGAGAAUAUAUAUGAGUUGUAAGUUAUUCACUUAUUUCAGGAUGUUCGAUGAAAAUCCAGCCAAUAAAACAAUGACUAAGAGGAAAGAAAAAAAAUAAACAUGAAAUUUUAAUUAAAUAAUUAUAAUGUUAAAUAAUUAAACUUUUUUGUUAGCGUUGAUGGUCACUCCUCAAUCUCUGUAAGAGUUGUGCAACUUAGCUUUAUACUUUAUAGUUAAACAUCCACCAAUAGCAUAUAUAUAUUUUGAUACGUAACCGAAUUAGAUGAUAGUUUUUGAGUGAAAAAAAAAAAGUUAGGUAGAAGAAUGGAAGAAAUUUGAAUACAUUUCUCUUAAUUUAUAUAUUUUUUUAAUUAUGUUUCACUUGAUUAAUUUUAAUUAAUCAUGGAUUGAUAAGUUAAUUCUCAUUAUGGAUUUAAAAGAGGUGUGUUAGAUUUUCAGUAAGUAAGCUUCAAUUCCAUCCAUAUCCGAAUGACUUUUUCUCAUUCACAAUUCUAGUAUUUGGUAAUAAGAAGAAAAACAAAAUGUUUAAAAUAUUAUGAACUAAAAUAAUUGCUAAACAUUAAAUAAAAGUUUUAAGAAGUAAAGUACAUUAACUGAAUGAAUAAGAAGUUAAUACAUUAUAAAGGCAAGGCUACAGGUAACAAGUACAAGCACAGGCUAGUGAACUAAUUAACGGCUAAGCAAUUAUUCAAUUAUUACUACCAAACAACCUCCAUUUUCACUAUUUGUCACUUUUUCUUGAAUUAUCAGCUUCAAUCGGAUUUAAAUAUAAUCUUCUUAUUUUUUUAAUUUAAUAUUUUCAUAAUGUUCGACAAAUUAAUUUAUCAAAAAUUGAAUUGAUAUGAGUAACUUGAUAAAUAAUUUUAUAUAAAUAAUUGUUCACAAAUUUACAUCAUUAUCACUUUUAUCCUCAUUAAGUUAUCACUUUUAUCCUCAUUAAGUUAUGUAUAAAUUAUUGUAUUCCUCUCUCGUAUUCAGUAUUGAUGCGUGGUAAAUUGACCAAAUCUCUAUCUAUAUAUAAAUAUAUUGAAUCCCAAACGGGAAACUAAACAUACAAUUAAACAUUGAAGUAAUCACAUAUCCAACAUAAAAAAAUUACAAUCUAGAACAAAAUCUAUAAAAAAGUAAAUUUAAACAUCAAAAUAAUAAUAUAGGAGCGAGAAAGACCAAUAACAAUUGACACUAAUGUUCCGAAUGAUAUAAAAUUCCACUACACAAAAAUUGAACAUGGACAAAAAUACAAACAAAAUAUUAGUUUUAGGAACCAAAACAAACGAAAAAUAACCUCUAAGGUGGAGAAUCAAAAUAGCGAACGAAAGAAGAGGUUUGAGAUGAUUUUUGAACGGUGAGAAUGGUUGAAGAACCUUCACGAUGGCAAUGAAGGCACCAAAAACAACGUUGAGCAGUCUCAAAACAAGGAAACAAGGUGCAACAAGUGGGGCAUAACGUUGUUUUGAAUUCAUAGAGGAGAAUGAAGAAAAAAGAAAUUGUUUACCCUUUGUCUUUCAUUUUCUUUUAACUUGGCAAACGAUUCUACCUCGGUUCUAAAGAAAAUUGCUUUAGUUAAUAAUGAACUGAAGCAUAUAUUUUCGUGAAAGUUUCAAAAAUGCCAUUACGCCAUGUUAUGUUGUGCUUUCUUGAAAACUGAAGAAUAAUAAGCACAUUAGUAUUUCCUUUUUUACUAGUGUAUGUAGGGAACAAAACCAUACAAUUGUGCAUUGUCUUGGAAUGAUGACCAUUUGUUUCUAAUGGAUCUUACCAUGAAUCACAAAUAGUUAGUUCAAUAAUUAACCGUACUUUGUGAAAUAUUACAUUAAAUAACACAUACCCAUCAAUGUACGGUGCAAGGUACAUAUCUCUUUUUGACUCAAACAUCCAUGUGUACAAAUAAGUUUGCUUGUGAUUAAGUGUGUUUCAAUAAGAUUGAAUGGUCUAAGGUUCAAUAAAUCCAUAGAUGGAAAUCCAACAUUGGUUAACAAUGAUUGUGUCUAUGUACCUAUAACAAGAAAAUUAAGUAUAAAUUAAAAAGUAAAAAUUCCAUGAUUUAAAUAUGGAAUACAGUGAAAAGUCUUACAUGCAUCGUAGUUGUAUGAUUGAAAUGUUCAACAUUUUGUCUCGCCCAAUGAUCUCUAGUGCAUCAUUUAGAUUAAUGUACAAUGAGACAUGAUACCAGAGGCCAAAUAUUAACUCUCACUUUAACACUAGCAGUUCUCUAUUCAACUUGUUUAAUUUUUUUAGGAGCUUUCCUAGAACAUCAUCUUCUACUUUUUGCCAUGUCAUCAUCUUCAUGGAUAACAUGUUGACACAUGACCUACAUUUUAAGAUCUGAGAACUAAAAUAAAGAUUUUCAAAGGUAUGGAUCAUUUAUUUAUAAAUUAUAAGAUAAAAAUACUAAGAAUAACAUUAUAGUACCUAUGGUGGGACAAAGUAUGACAUGAUAAAUGCUUUAAGCCAAGUUAUAAAUAUGCACAGGGCCUCCCUUAUGAAUUGGAUUUCUGAAGUUAGCAUAGACACUCAAGCAUAGGGAUCUCGAACUUCGUCAAUCGUCACACGAGUGGGCAGUAGUGGAGCACCAUGGAUAAUUUGUUCUCCUUCAAAUUGUCGUCCUAUGACCACUACAUGCAAAGGAUCUCCAUCAACCAAUAGCUCAUAUUGACUUGUGUAGUUAGUAUGAUCUACAUCAGAGCAUGAGUCUUUUGUGCUCACACAACGUCCAGUUGGAACUUCAGUAGGUAACUCAAUAUUCUGUUGUUCCUCAGUUACUCAAUUCUAUACGAAGAUAAAUUUUUAAAAGUUGAAAUAUAAAAUAUAUUUCUGAAAGAUAAAUUAGACCUGUUGAUUUAAUAUUUUUAUUCUUUGAAAAGGUAUAAUUUAAAAAUAAUUAUGUGUAUAUAUUAUGUUUUAACAUAAUAUAUAAUGCUUUAUCUAAUUAAGCAUUAUAGUCAUUCAAUAUUGUUUAUUUUAAUAUAUAUUAUUUAAUAAUAUAUAAAAAAUAAAAUUAAAAGAAAAAUAAAAUAAGCUUUUAUUUUCAUAGAUUAAAAUGUUAUACUUAAACUAAAAGAAACUAUAACAAAUAAAAUUGAUUUACAAAAAAAGGUUCAAUUUUAUUUAUUUUUUGUGGAAUUGAAAGAUUAGUGUGAUGGAUUCCUGUUACAAAAUUUGAUUGAUUUUAUAUAUAAAAACAAGUUCGGCCUUUAGUUACCUGAAUGAUAGAGAUGGGUCCAUUAUUGUGGGGCUUGGGUGAAUGAGGUACAUCAUUAUGGAAAGAUAAGUUAUGAAUGGAGAGAAUACUUACAACUUGCUUUAUACAAACUCAUCAAUAAUUAAUAGUCAUAUAUAUAUAUUUAUGCAUCUUAUUUAAAUUCGUUUUGAUCAUAACAUAUUCAUUUUAUAUCCACCAAAGUUUAACAAGAAAAAUAAACGUAAAAUUUUAAUUCAAAUGGAUUAGCGAAGAAGAAAGUGAAGAAAGACAUGGAUUAAUUAGAACCUUAAUGUUAACGUGAUACAUGUUGAAUAAACAAAUUAUAAAAAAAUAAAUUUUAAAUCUAAUUUAAUUUUAUAAAAUUGUAAGGUGAGUAAUUAAAAUGUAAAAGAAUAAAUUUUAAAUCUAAUUCAAUUUUAUAAAAUUAAUUCGUAAAAUGAAUUUUACAUAUUUAUUAUUAUAUUGUAAAUUAAUUUUAUUUUUAAUUAAUGUGAAACUUUUAAUAUAUUUUUUUAUGAUAACAUAUAUAUUUCAAACGUGUGACUUGUGACUUGUUAUUACUGAAUAAUAUAAUAACAACAUGACGAGUGAAAUGAUAGUUAAAAAAUAAUAAAUUUUAUUAAGAUAGAUUUUAAUCUAUAACUAUUAAACUUUAUUAAAAAAUAAAUUUUAAGUCUAAUUAAAUUUUAAUUACAUAACUAACUUGUAAAGUAAAAGUUUAUAUCUGUUUACAUCUAAAAGAUGUCGAAGUUUAACAUAGAGUAACAUGUAACAUGACAUGAUACUCUCCAAACAAGGUACAAGGAUUGUUCUGUGAACGAGAGUGGCAGGUACAGGUAGCAUUGUAUGGUUCAUAGACAAGCAAUUCUGAACUUGAAACUGAGUACUGUUGGCUUGAACAGGACCGUUGAAGUCAGCAUCAACUGUAUGCCAAAAUUUACUGCAGACUGUGGUUUCUUUGGAUCCAUUUCUUGUCUACCACAAUAGUAAAUAUGGCUCUACCAAAGUUUUUAACAUUUUGCUCGAAAAACUAAUAUUUGUCCUUCUCCUAUGAUGCUAAUUGGGUCCAUUCUGCACAAUUCUGCAGACCAUUUGGUGCAAAUGUUUAAUUAUCAGAAAUUUGAUUCUUAAUUAUAUAUAAUUAUGCCUAAGACUCAAAACUUUGAAACACCACCCAUGAUAACAGAAAGUGACAUCAACCGAGUGAGAAAUAAAUGGUACAUAAUUUUGAUUCUUAAAAUAAAUGCAUGGUGGCAACUAGAUAUUUAACAGAAAAAAAUGAUAGAGAUAUUUAAUAAUUGCAUGAGAUGUGAAAAUUGUUAAAAGGAAAAAGACAUUGGAGAGAAGUGGACGUAUGCACGUGCAUGGAUGAUGAUGAUGGCAUGCAGAAUUAAGGAUCUUCAUAUUUUCACAACUAUUUUUAAUAAAUUUUUUACAACAAGACACGUGAUAUCAUUUUAUUGGUCUGUUUGAAUUUAUAUUCAUUUGAAACAGACCAAUCACAAGCUAUCAGUUGUUAAAAAAUAGUUGUUAAAAGAAUUUUUUCCUAUAAUUAAGUCUAAGUGGCAAUGCAAAUUUGGAAAAUCGAUGAGAGCAUAUCUAUACUUUUUUUAAUAUUUUUUUUAUUAUUUUUUGAAUGUAUUUUCUAUUUCAUAUCUAUAUGAUUUUAAUAAUUUAUGAAUUUGUUUAUAUAUAUAUAUAUAUAUAUAUAUAUAUAUAUAUAUAUAUAUAUAUAUAUAUAUAUAUAUAAGAGGUAAGAAUACAAGAUAUAUCUAUACAAGAUAUAUGAAGAGCACAAAGAUGUUAUUCAGGAGUAAGAUGAUGUUCUUGAAGAGUACAAAGAUCUUGUUCAAGAACAACAUGAAGUAGGUCCACAUGAUACAUCAUUUUUGACGAGUUAUGUUGAUCAUCUUGCAUUCAUGUAUAAUAGUACAAUAGUUGUUUUUUUUUUUUAAUUUUGAUGACUAAUGAGUUGUUUGAACUUUAUAUCCAAUUAUUUUGUCUAGGAUUGAUGAGAGAUCAAGUUGGUUUUCCAUGAAAAAAAAAAUUAAACAAACGUGGAAUAUGUCAUUUGGUUGUUAAAAAUUUUGUGUUGAAUUCUGGUUUGAAUAUGCCAUAUUUCUCACUCUCAUGUUGAUAAGAGUUUAAUAUUGAUGUUCCUUGAAAUAUGGCAUAGAGAGACAAAGAGUUUCCAAAUAUGACUACUUCCUUAAAUGAAUUUCAAAAUUUGACGACUUCUUUCACCUGAUUUCAAAAGUUCGACGAUUUCCUAAUCGAAUUUUGAAAUCCAAUGACUUCUUAAUCGAAUUUCGAAAUAUGACAACUUUUUUAAUCAAAUUUUAAAAUCUAACUAAUUUUUUAAUCAAAUUUUGAAAUUUGAUCGAUGAAUAAUUUAACUAGUUUCAAAAUUUGGUAAAUACCUUAAUCAAAUUUCGAAAUUUGAUGAUUUUCUAAACUGAAUUUUGAAAUCUGAUGACUUCUUAAAUGAGACUGCAAAAUUUCGUAACUUUUUUAACCGAAUUUUGAAAUUCAAUUAUUUCCUUAGCUAAAUUUCAAAAUUCUAUAAGUUUUCUUAACUAAAAUUUGAAGCCUAAAUCAGAUUCCUUAAUUUUCUAAAAUAGAUUUUAAAAUUCAGUUAAUUUCCUAAAUAAAAUUAGAAAAUUCGAUACAUCCAAAACAUAAUAAAAAUAAAUAUAAAAUUUUAAACCUUAACGAAUAAAAUUGCUUAUACCUAAAAGGUACGAGAUGAAAUAAAGAAGAGGAUGAAGGUGAUCAGAACAAAGCGGUCAAACACCAAAAUCAAAAGUUUUCCUCUUCAAAAACUAGCCCAUCAUAUUUCCUCUACAAUCAACCAAUCUGCAUACAUUUCUCUCAUUCAAUACCAAUACUAUUACAUAAAUUUUCAGUUUUAGGUCAUUUUUUAUUUAUUUUUUAUUAUGAGUUAAUAUUGGUCUUCAAAGAUAGAAGAAAUUUUAGAGUAAAAGCACAUUUUCAUGGUAUAUGAGUACAUAUUUUAUCCACACACAUAAUAUAAUUUUUUUGCCCACACAAUGGAAAUAAAUAUUAAUGUAUCUUAACAAAAUUUUGUCAAGAAGGUUCGUGUUAAAAAAUUUGGGCCAGACUAAAGGGUUUCAUUGGAAGUUUCUUUCUGCACUUUCAUAGUUUCAAUUGACAUCCCAUAGAUAUUAAAAUUCUAAAUUUAUCUUCUAAUUUAGGAUUUUAAUUUUUUGUUUUGAAUUGUUUAAUCCAUAAAGUUUUCAAAAUAUCCUAUUGAAAAUAUAAAUUACAUAAUAUAAAAUAUUAAAAAUAUAUUUUAGAUUGUAGAGUUCAAAAUACAAAUUUUACAUUUCGUAAUAAACAAAAUUUACUUAAAGUAUUCUUUAUGUGAUUUUUCAUGUAUAAACAAAAUAUACUCUAUGUAAUUUUUAAUGCAAAUUUUAUAUACUUUGCCAUUUUAAUCAUGUUUCUGUUUUUUGUUAAAUACUAUUCUGCUACUGUGAAUUUUGACUUCUAUGUAAUUGGAAAUGCCUUUUCUACAUUAACAAUUUAUGUGUCGAAAAAAAAGAGGAUAAAAAUGAAGAAAAUGAAAUGUGGCAUUAAAUUAAUAUUGUCAAUUUAAUUAAUAUGUAACGUGUGGAACAUUAAAAUAAAUUAAUACGGUAUGAUGUAAAUUCAAAUUUAAAAUUGUAUAGGAUUUGGUAUUUUCUUUUUCUUAAAAGAGUUUUUAAUGAAACUCUCCCGGGUAGAAUAAAUAAAAUUUCCCAUUUCCCUCAACAAAUGGAUCAUAUAAGUAAUAUUUUCUUCUUUUUAUUUUUAUUUUUUGUUGAGACUUUUACACAAUAAAUAUAAUGAAUUUUUUACUUUCUAAUUGAUAUUUUUAUUUUUACUUCAUGAUAAGAUAAAUAGAGUUGAACAUACUUAACUAAACUAUAUUAAACUAUAAUCAACUAUAAUUUUAAUAAACUAAAAAAAUGAACUAUUUAAUAUAAACUAUAUUGUUUAACAGUUAUUUAUAAAAGUUAAACUUAUAUCAAUUAAUUAAUAACUGAACUGCUCAAUGGACGGUAUCAAUUGGUAAAACAGUGUUUGCUUUUGUUAAAAAUAAUACUUUCUUGGAAGGGUUGAGUUUGUUGGGUUAGAAGAACUUAUUACAAGAUUUUUUGUUUUUUCUGUUCAAAUUUUCCACGUAGUCUUUAUUGCAGAUAUUUUAUUUUGAGUUAAAUAUAUUUUUUUUUAUCUUUUAAGAUAAAUUAUAUAUUUUUAGACUUUAUAUAAAUCAUAUAAAUUAUUUAUGAGAUUAAAUGAUAAAAAUAAAAUAUCUCUGCAAUAUAAUAAAAUAAAAAUAAAAAUGAUGAGAUCAUUAUCAUGAUUAAAUAAUCAAAUAUUGAACAAUUUAUAUUCUUAUAUUAAAAACCUAAAUUAUUUGGAACCAAUAUUAUUAAGAAAGUAAACUAUCGAAAAUUUAAGAUUAUGAUAAAAAUUAGAUCGUGAGAAUAAGUAAUAUUUUGGGUAUGAGGUCGAGUCACUUCCAACACUUACAUAAUUUCUUUUUUAGUGUCGUUGAUAGUUCCCCAAUCUAAUUUUUGUGUCUGCUCCACCGUUUGGAGUUAUACCUGCUGAAGAUUCUUCGAUGCAAGUUAUAUAAUCGUCUGUAUGCAAGUUUAAUGCAAGGGUAUUAAAUGUACUAUAAAUGCGAUCACCUACAGUAUUUAUAGUUUUUAAUAUGGGCUUAAGAUUAGUGAAAUUUCAAUCUGGCUCAAUCUCAGGCUAAUACUCCUAAUUACCAUUUACCUUAAUCCUUGUGAGGAAAACUUGUUUAUUAAAUGAGGUCGGACGUCCCUGAUGAUCAAUCCUACCUGCUGGUUCGACUAUAGAGUCGUUCAGUUUGGUUGGUGUGAAAUACUGUUAUGUAGAAUUGUCCGGCCUAUACGGUACAAGUAAUAAUUCAAAUUAUAAUUAUAAUAAGGAUUAAAUAAAAUAUUCAAAAUAUGUAUAAUAAAAUGUUAUAUUUCUUUAUAUAUUUGUAUAUAUAGUACAAUUUUUAAUUUAUAAAUAAUGUAUAAAUAAUAAUAAUAAUAGAAAAAAGCACUAAGUGUUCAUAUUUUAUAGUUAGAAAACUUGAACUUUCUCUGUUCACAAUUUACGAAUAAUUUGAGAGGAGGGAAUAAUGGAAAAACCAUAAUUGGAGACUAGGGAAUAAUGAAAAAACCACCCAUAUUCUCAAACAAUUAACUGAACUUAAAUUAACUUAGUUUACAAAAUAGUAUAUUUAAUUUUACUAUGGAUUAGUUUUUUAAAAUGUAAUAUAGUACAGUUAAUUAUAGUAUAAAUCAAUUAGUUUUGUCCACCCACAAUAAGUACACAUAUAUAAUUAAUUGAAAAUCAAUGAAUAAUAGUUAACUAAAUAACUAAUGUUGUCUCAAAUUUUAAAAAUAAUAAUUGAAAAGAAAGUUUUUUCAAAAUCCUACAAAAUCCUACAUAUAUAUAGAAAAAGUUAUAAUAAUAAUAAUGUAUGAAUUGUUUCAUCCUUUACCUCCAAUAAUUUCAUUUUGCACUUCUAUUUUUUUUUUUUAAUUUCAAAAUUGUUCUUUGUAAUUCAAAAACUUAUACAUUCUAUUUUUUUGCUUUACCAUAUUUCAAAAUUCAAUAAAAAAAAAUUUCAUCAGACAUCGAAAUCCGACGAAGGAUUUCUCAAUAUUUUUUAUAAUUUGAUAAAGGACAUUUUCUUUAUCAAAUUUUGAAAUUCAGUGAAAGAUUUUUUAUUUUUUUAUUAUUUUAAAAUACAUUUUGAAGUUUUUGAAAAGUUCUUCAUUUUUCGAUAUUCAAUGAAAAAAUGAAAAAUUUUCAUCAUAUUUUAAAAUCAAAUGAAAAAAAAUCCUUCAUCGAAUUUUUAAAAUAUAAUCAAAUGAAAAAAAUUCGAUGAAGAAAAAGUUCUUCACAAAAUUUCAAAAUAUGAUGAAGAAAAAUAUAAUCUCUAAAGUUAUUUUUGAAAAUUGGAAGGUGAAAUAAUUAGAGUUACCACCAAAAGUAUAGGUGUAAAGAUGUUACAGUGAAUUUGAGUCCAUAGACUGGCCUGAAAAAGCCCACUAAAAGGGUCCGAGUAGAAAAAAGAAAGGUAGUUUCUUUUUGCACCUACUAACUUUAUCUAAGUAUCUUCACUCUCUUUUUUUUCAUUUAUCUUUUUUAAUCAUACAAUUUAAAAUUAAUUUUUAAGUUUUGGAUUACAUAAUAAAAAAUCAAAACAAUCUUUUUUAUUGAAAGUCAAAAAUAAUGUUUGAAUUAUAAAAUAUGAAAAUGAUUUUUAUAUGAAAAAUUAGUUUUUGAAUUACACAAUUCGAAAUUUAUUUGAUUUUCAUAUUACACAGUCCCAAAGUCAUUUCUAGAUUUUGGAUUGUAUAAUUUGAAUAUUCUUUUGAAAAUAUUUUUGGCCAUAUUACGCUCGAGAAAGGAAAAUGGGAGAUUUUUUUUUUUGGAGGUGCAGAAAGAAUGUUAUGGAGGUGCAUAAGAUAUUGAGCCAACUAUUUUCUAAAAUGAGUCUAAAUUGAGCCAUAACUAUAUUUAAAAAAUUAGUUAUCAGAAUUGUUAUAUCUAAAAAAUCAGAAGUAAUUUCUUAAAUUUGCCGUAAAUUAAAAAAUAUACAUAUUUUUUUUAUGAAAGUAUAAUUAGGUAAGUCAUAAAAGGAGAGAUUAUUUGGGUGAGAGCAUAGGAGUUUCCAAAUAGAGCAUAAAAUAAUAUAGUAGUAGGAAGAGGAUGAUAAUGCAAGUUGCAGAUAUCUACGUUUCCUUCCACUUGCCAUGUGAUGUGCUGUCUGUGUGGAACUUUCCUGUCCAUUUAUGUCCAUAUUAGCUGUCACCCUCAAUAACCACACUCACCUUUUCACCAAAUCUAACAUAAAGGGAUUUUUAUCUUCUACAAAUAAUAUUUUCAUAAGAAUUUUAUGAUCCAACAUCAAAGCACAGUGCCUAUAAUUUAUUCAUAUAUUAAAAAUUCCAAUCCUCUGAUACAAUAAACCAAGAAAUUUCCCUGUACAAUAAGAAAAUUCCCUUUUUUUUUUCCAUCGAAAUAGGUGGAACCCCAAAAUUCUUCAUAUUUACACUUCAAAAUAUAACUCAAAAUAGUGAGAGUGAGAGCAAUAAGAGCUUGCCGCCAAAAAAUCCCAGCCCUUAUGAAGAACUUAGAUCCCAUGCAGAAGAAAUGAAUUAUCUUACCUACUUGAUGGCAUAAGAACGAGUACACACUGAUUCAAGAGCCUCCGUGAACAAGGAAGAGAAACUGGUCAAUGCCUGAAACACACCAGGCAACCCUGUCUGCAAAUUGUUCAGGGUCAUGGCUCUUGUUACCUCCACAGCUUUUGAAUGCCUCAGCAUUUCAUCUUCAACGCGCCUUUGGCAGGUUGCCAGUUCCAGUUUUUUCUCCGCCAGUGGAUCGCGAGCAUCCAGACCCUGUCCAUUGUCAGCUGCUGUAUCAGGAAGGCUAAUUCCUACCAUAGAAUAUGAACUGUAGAACUUCCUCUCUAGGUUUCUCACAGAGGAAGCCUUUUUCUCAAGUUCCUUUGAUGCUGUCUCGGUUCUUUUCUUCAUCUUCAGCUCUUCAGUUUGCUUGGAAGAUAUCACAUGGACAACAUUGAUAAAGCUCUUUAUGGCUUCAGAUGCAACCGUGUCUGGAACACGGUCAAGUGCCAGUUUCCAUUCAUCAAAAAAGUGGUAUGUAUCAGAGUUGUCCCUGCUGUUGUUGAUGUUAUCAUUGUCCACUGGAAGAAGACUGAGCUUGAACCAGCCAUGCAAGGAAUGGAUGAACUCCCGCUGAAAUUUUAUCAGGCGACAAAAACUUGAGUGCCAGGCUGACACGGCUGCUUCCAGGUCCCGUGUAGCCUGCCUGUGCAGUUCAGAAGUGGAGUCACCUCUUGAAGAUCUGUUCACAAGGCCACGGACUUGCUGCACUAUGUUGCUUUGAAUUUCAUGGUAAUUAUGCAUUGCUUUCCACAUGUACAUAAAUCUACAAUUUCACAUGUCACAAUUCACAAACAUAAUAAGACAACAACGUUAUCUUGAUAAGUAAUUGUUGCUGGGAGACAAAUUUUUAAUGCAUAAAAUUCAGUACAAAAUAUAUAGGGAAUGACAGAUAAUCUAAAUUUCACUCCCACUCGGCUCAAUAAUCAUCUGCCACAUUGAACGUUCACACAGAAUGUGGAAACAUCUUGCUUUCAUGCUAUCUUACACUACCCACAACAUAUACAACAUAUCUUACUGCAAAAUUGACCCUGAUUGGUUAUUUGGAACAGUAAAACGGAAACAGAUGAAUAUCAGUAACAUCAGUGUAAGUUUUUACAGCUUAUAACACCCAGUCAAAUAGUUUAGAAUCAGUUAACAAGGGUUAUCCCAUUGUAUGGUUUAACAUACCUACUCCAUCCAUAAAUUAGUUAUGCUCGUAUGGAGCCUAAAAAGACAAAAUAACAUUCCGACAGAUGCACUGGUGGGCCAAGGUUUGAUUAUAAGAGGUAGGCAGUUGUUGGACAGUUUAGUACAAAGAAGCACAUGCAAUUACGCAGAGCUGAUAAAACAAGUGGCAUACGAGAGCGGUAAGUCAUAAUGUUUUCAACUACCACCCAAGAUUUUCUUGACCCAAAUUAGGCAGCACAUUCACGAGGUAAAUGAGGGCAUUUGAAAAAGUGAAAAAGCAUUUCAAUUCUUACAGUUAAACUCAAAAGUUCUUUAAUAGGGUUGGUAACUUGUAUCAGCUCAAGGUUCUCUCACAUUCCACCAGAUUAAAUCAACAUUUACAAAAUAUCCAAUGAACAAGACAGCAUGAUCCUAUAUUAUGGUCUCACAACAAGCAGCACAGUCUUCAAGUGUGUUUGAUCAUGAAGCCUAAAUAUGACAUUUAAUUUGUUUGUAAAUGGAUACAAUAAGACCAAAACACUUGAAAUUUUCAUUAGUCCAAAAUACUAGACAAUUUUUGGGAGCCAAUUAAGUUAUUAAAGUUCAUCCAUUACAGCAGUAAAAAUAAGCACGUCAGUGAACUCCCAUAUGCAUGAUUUGCUGUAAAAUUGGAUUAAUAGAUAAUCACCAUAGUUCUUCACUUCUUUGUUGAUUAAUGAUGUAAUAAUGAUCCAAUCUCAUGUACAAGAACUUGAUUAUUUAGCUAUCCACAAAAUGUGGAGCUACCAAAACAGUAAAGCUAUUGAAGAAGAGACAUACCCAUGAAUGAGAGCAACAAGCUGAGGGACCAGAGCAGAGUCCCUAAGGCCAACAAUGGCAGUUGAGGUGGUAGACACAGCCUGAGAAGUGACAACUAUGAGUGACUGCAGCCUAUUUAUGGAAGUCUUGGUUUUGAAUAUCUUAGCUUCAUCCUCUCCCUUGUAUUCCUGAGUCUGCAGAGCUGACAAUUUCUUUUCAUGUUCGAUCUUAACACCUUCUCUAGCCUUAAUUCAAGCACAAUUUGUAGAAAGUGUUAGCAUAGCACACCUCGUUUCCAAACCACAUGCUUUAGGUUUUUAGCUAAAAAUAAAUGCAACAGAACCACCUGACUUCAGUUUGGUAAAAAGGCAGCCAAGUUGGACACAGCAUUUAUGGUGAUUUCAAACAUCCAUGACAAUAUCCUAGGCAUUACUUUAUUUUUUUUUUUCUUUUAGUGCCGUAAGUCUAAAGAAACGUGCCUUUUUCAGUAAGAAUACACACACACAUGUAUAUGUGACAGAAAAUGUUUGCCCUUCACACAUAGACCCAAUUGAAUGUGAACAAUCAAUCACAUGCAAGACAAAAUUUGAAGAAACAGACAACUGGUUUAAUUACUUAAAAUCUGUUAAUCGCUCGGUUCCUCUGUAGUCAGUGGUUUAUCUCACUGAGGUUUAAAAGAGUUAAUUAAGGGUGUGGGCAUUUCAGUCAUUUCAUUUCACACAAAAUAAAUUAUGAAUGAAUCAUAAGCAAACCUGGUUUACCGUAUGACCAAAUAUACACUUAAAUCAUUACAUGACAUGUGUAAAAGCAUUUUGGGAUAAGUAUGUUUCUAUGAUGGAGCAUUAUUUGUACCACAAUAAUAAAGGUUGGUCCCAACAACCGAGGCUAUUUUGGUCAAUUCAAAAUGGUGAAAAAGGGGAAGGAGGUCAUUUUCACACUAAACAGUCAAAUUCUGCUGUGACCUUACGCUACCAAAGUCCAACAUAACCUACACCGUUUCCUUUUUUCCUUCACCUUUUUAUGCUCUCGAAAAAUAUAAUUCAUUUUUCUAAAAAGGGAACCUCUUUAUUAUCCAAAUAACACCACCGCCCUAGAAAUUAAGAUAAAAUUACCUUAACCUCCUCGUACAGCUUUUUCUCCCAUGCCAAAAGCCGUUCUAUGGUGGAGCAAAGACUCUUUGAACCGCCCGGUUCAUCCAGCGAACCGGUGUCCAGCCGGUACUUAACCGCCAGUGGCGGUUUCGAGGUCCAACUUGAGCUCAGAUUGCUCAAUAUGCUGCUCGAGUGAUACACAGUCUCUGCAAAAUCAAAACCAUCCCUUAAUUUUCAAGAAAACUCAAAACCGUGAACUCUUCAUUCGGAAAUUGACCCAAAAGCAUAAAAGCGAAAUCUCCCCAAUGACCAAACACAAACCUCAUAAAAACCCCAAUUAAAUAUCUUUAACACAAAUUCAAAAUGUCCAAUCCAAUUUAAACAUGGAAAUAAAACUUCAAACAUUUCCAAGUUGGUUUUCCAAUUAAAAUUAGAAGCAAAACUUUGCAAACAAGAGUUAGAAAAGAAAAUCUUUACAUUUUUUUAGUACUCUUCUCUUAACAGAUUCAAAGUUUCUGUUUUUCAAUUGUGAUUCGAGACCAACAAAAAACAAUAUUCAAAUAAUCGAAACAAAUUGUUUGAGUUUGUAAAACAUACUCCUCAAUUGUUUGAAGCUGCGAUCGAGCUGAGCCUUACUGAUCUCGAGCAUCUCCGAAACCUGAUCUCCGGCGGAAGCAGCAUUAUCAAAAUUCUCUUUAAUAGCUUCCACGAUCUCCCUCAAGUCCCUGUGCCUCACCACCAUCUUCAUCUCCGCGACGGAGGACGCGGCGUCGAACCCCUUAGCGCCGCCGCCAGCCGCAACGGACUCGGCCCGCAUGGACGACCCGAAAUUCGACCGGGUCCCGAUCUCGGACCUCGACGCCACAUCCUCCUCCACCCCAUCAUCAUCGUCAUCGGAUGAACUCGUGGUGCUGUAAUGAUCCCCCCACUCACUGCACUGAACCUCUUCCCUCUCAGUCUCGGUAUACUCUUCAGGAAGAUGGUGAUGAGAGUGAGAAUCAGAGUGAAUGUGAGAGGGAGAGCGGGAGUGGGAGUAAGCUUUUUGAGUCUCGUGUUUUCCGUCGAAGUAAUCGUAUUCAGAUCUCUCGGAGUCGGAGUCAUGAAUUUGAGGAUUGGUGGGUUGGGUUUUGUGGGAGUAAUGAGAGGCUGUUUGUGUUUUGUGAGAGUGAAGGGAAGGUGUUUGCGUUUGUGUUUGAGUCUGAGCCUGCGAGAGUUUUUGUUGGUGUUGGUGUUGGUGUUCUUCAGGGAAGUAAUCGGAAGCGGGAGGAGGUGGAGGGGGGUAGAAAUUUUCCCAGUUCCAAACAGAGGAGGUUUGGGAAGGGGUGGAUGAGUAUGUUGAAUGCGCAGUGGGGAAAAAGUUCGAAGGAAAAUUCGACGCUUGGCUUCGUGGCGUGGAGGAGGGGCUCGAGUCGGAAAGAAUAUGGGGUAGCUUCGGCGGCGGCGGCUUGCGGCGGCGGUGUUGGAUGGGGGCGAGUUUCGGCGGCGGAGAAGGGUUGAAGGGUGGUGGAGAGUGGUGAGGGUGGUGGGGGUGGUGGCGAGGUGGUGAGGGUGGGCGAGUGUGGUGGAUGGGAGGGGGUGGUUGUUGGGAGUUGUUGAGGAAGACGGCAGGGGUGUGGUCAGAGACGGAGAGGGGUUCGCCGGCGGCGAAGGUGGAGAGGGCGGAGCCGGUUAGGCGGAGGGAACGGCAGUAGUCGGAGUGGGCGGCAGCGAGUUGGUGGCGCGCGUAGACGGCAUCCUUCAUUAGACGGCGGCGGUCCUUGCAACGACGCACGGUGUCCUCGUUUUCUAGCUUGGACGCCGUGCAACCCAUGGUGGCGCGUGGGGGAAGAGGAGUGGGACAAGUCAGUGGUGUUGGGUUUAAGUGAAUGAUGGGGCGAGAGACAUUGUGAGAAGUGAGUGAGUGAGUGAGUGAGUGAAGUGCUUGUUUUGUUGUUUGUUUGUAUCGUCUAUGGAAUUUAUUAAGAAACAGUAGCUUAUUGUUUUGGUGAUAAUGUGACAUUAAAAGACGGUAAUCAUGGUGGGUGAACACUGAUUUAAUACUGCUUCAAUGCUGUCACCUUUUUUUUUACCUUCUAAUUUUAACCUAUGCAUGCAUGCAUGAUCAAAUUUUGAUUUAUAUUAAGUACUUCUAUUACUUGUUCAUAUUUUUUAAUGAGUUAUUCAAAUUGGUAAAUUUUUAAUGCAUUUAUCUCGUAAAUGAUAUUUAUCAAAUAACAUCUAUUCACUUCUUUCACAAGUUCUUUUUAGUGACACUAGGUUCAAAAUUAUUUUCUACUUUGUUUUCAUUAGAACAAAAUUUUUGUUACUUAAGUAAAAUUCUACCCUUUCAACCAAGAUUAACCCAACAUCAAUCUAAACCGUCACUCUCAAUUUUAAUCGAGUAAAAAAAUCUUAUUUGAAUGAAAUUAUCUUAUAAAUAUGCAUUGUACUCAUAGGGACCGGACGACUUGUGUAUCUGUAGGAACUAGACGAUCUGUGUGUGACAUUCAGGCACUGACGAGGGUGGAGAGUGACCGUCAGUGCAAAAGACACGGAUAAGGAGCAACUCCUAGCAGACUUCUAGUGGAAGGGGCACAUGGACGAAUCGUACAUACAUCGGAAUGAGAGGGAUCUAGGCACUGUAUAGGUAUGAGACUAUACGGUUGAAGGAUAGCUUAAAGGAAUUAAUUUGACUACUCAUAUCAACAAAUGCAUUUGUUUUUCGAUAGCUUAUUCCAUAAGAACUCCAUAGUUAAACGUGUUUAGCCUGGAGUAAUUUAGGAUGGAUGACCUUCUACGAAGUCCUUCUAAGGAAGCCUUGUCCAACGUGCUUGGCAUGUUAACCUUAUCUAUAUCGUUCCUAUUCCAACUCAGCGACGACAACGAAUUCAACCGUACCCGGCUAGACAGAAAAUAUGACCAAACGUCCAAAAGAUAAAUUGUGUAAAUAUUAAUGUGGUCCGACCUCACAACCGAAACAUACAUAAUUUUUUCACAACACAAACGUGUCAACAAUAAUAAUAAGUUUAAAAUAGUUCAAAUAAAUAACUUAAAGUUAAAGUUUUAGUUUGAUUAAAUAAAAAAUUGAACUAAUAAUUUAUUGUUUAAUCAAAUAAUUAAGAUUUUAGAAUGAAAUAUCCACAUUAGAUAUUUUUUGUAAAUUAAAAUUAUUAAAGUCUUAUAUCUAUUAUUUUAUAACAACAUUAUGUUAUACAUAACUGGGACAUUUUCUUCUUGUUAUCAUCUUAACAUUAAUUAUAAGAUGUAAAUAAAAGAUAUCUGUGUAAAACUGAAAUUAAAUUCUAAAAAAGGUUUUAAAAUUAAAAGGACCAUAGUGGAAACUACUAAAACUAUAAAGACUAUGAAAAAAAAAUCAAAUUAUAAAAAAUAUACAUAAAAAAAGAUAAAAAUAAUAUUUAUUUAUUUAUUUUUCUCAGAGUUAAUGGAUUUUACGGUAAACUCUCUUGGUACAACCAAAUUAGUUUUUCCAUCCUUCUCCAUUUUUUUUUCCUUUUUAUCCUUAAUAUAACAAAAUAGGUAAAACAAGUAUGCUUCUAUGGUAAAUUACGAAAUAAAACAAUAAUAUGAGGGACAAUUUAUUGGAUUAGAUAAUGUAACUUACAGUAUUAUUAGUGAGUUUUUUUUUCACUUAAUUAAGUUUUUUCAAUUUGUGGUAAAAUCAAUGAAAAAAAAGUUAUCACCCAAGUAGUUCGUUCAACAUAUCAUAUUUUCAUAAUUCAAACUAAGAUAUGAUUGAAUAAUAAGUAAACAAUAAAUUAAAAUCAACUCAUGUUUGAUUGGAAAGAAAAAUAAAAAAAUAAAAAAUUGUUGAUUCCCUUCUCGCAUAAUUUUUGUGUCAGAUUUGGCUUGAAACAUCAGAAAGUCAACUAUAUGGAAUAUUGUUCAUCAAGCUUAAUUUUCAUUGAAAAUGUCUUACAUAAUUUUUUUGUUAUCACAUGCCGUCAUAUAUUGCAAUUGAAAACUAAAGGGAUCAACCCAAAAUAAUUCUUUAAUCAAGUUUAAGAAAAGAAAAUGAUAACUGGACGUUCAUAUACUUUAGUGGAUACGUAGGGUGAUUAAAAAUUAUAUACGUAUAAUAAAAAAAUAAACGAAGUGUUUGAAAAAAAUAUAUAAUUAUCCAUAUAUCUCUUAUCACUCUUAAAUAAAAUAAUUAUUAUAGCAGAAUCGAUAUUUGGGAAUAUUUCAAAUAUGUAAAGGUUUUAUGUGCACUUUUUUUUUUGUCGGCAAGAUUUAUUAUGCUCUUGAACCUACUAGUUUUAUUGUUAUAUUAGCAAAAUAUAAUUUUAAGAAAUUAAAAAAUAAGAAUAGAUUCAACUUUAUCAAGGUAGGUGAUUAUCAUUUUUAGUAUAGAUUCAACUUUUUUUUUAUUCUAUUUGAGUUUAUGUUAUUGGUGUAAAGUUUGAUACAUUAAUUAUAAUAUUACAAAUACCGAUAGAGAAGCAAGUUAAAUUAAGAUAAUGUUUUAAUUUUUGUAAUGGUGUAUAUAUUAUAUACAUAUUGGGAACAUAAAGUUGUAAUAGUUAAAGGAUAAUGAUAUUUUUUGACAACAUUUGAACAUUGAUUAUGUGUCAAUAUGUGAUUGAUAAAAAAUUAUUCCACAAUCAAUAAUAAUAAUUAUAAACAUUAUUAUGGAAUAAUUUUUGACCAAUCACAGAUUGAUACGUAAUUAAUGUUCAAAUGUUGUAAAAAAAAAUGUUGUCUAAAUAUCAUUAUCCAUAGUUAAAUUGUAUACAAUAUUGUAAUGGAGUAUAUAUAAAUAUAGGUUGGCUAGUAGAAUUAAACACAAGAACGAUAUUAAAGUUAAAAUUAAUGGUGAUUAACGUUAAAAGGUGUUUUGAUUAGAAAAAUAAGAAGGAGGUGAUUUGGAAGGCAUUAUGAUAUUUUGAAAAGGCCUUUAAUUGGACGUUAGCCGAUUGUCCUAUAAAAUUAAGGCAUCGGAAUUAUCGACAAAAUCUAGUCAUCAAAUUUGUUUUCUCUGAAAAUUUCUGAAAUUAAUAAAAGAGAAAAUAAUUAAAUUGUUGAUAGUAAUGUUUGCAUUUUGCAGGAAUGAGAAGAGAAGUUGUUUUAAUCUUAUCAAUACAACAAAAAAUGCCUUGCUGUUCCAACCUGUAGUGCCCCACCCACAUACGUCUUUUCCAAUUCAUUCCUACCAUUAAAACUUAAAAAGGGUUAAAUACAUUGUUUAUUCAUCGACUAAUACAAAAUUAGAAUGAUAAUUUGUUAUUUUGAUAUUUUAAUGAAUUUACUCCCUUAUAUUUAAUCACAGGUAUUAUUCACUUAAGUAGAUUUAGAAGAGAGUAAUUAAGAGGAUUUAGAAAUAUUUGAUAAUAAUUUUUUUUUAUUUGAAUAGAUUUGGAGGUAAGUGAGAGUGAAUUUGGAAGUAGUUUUUUUUAAUCUGUCACAUAAAUUAAAUCUUACACUGUUUCUCACAAAUUUUACUUCAAAAUCUACUCUCACUUUCCUCUAAAUCUAUUUAAAUAAACAACAACAAAAAUUACUUUCAAAUCCUCUCAAAAUUUUUUCGAUUACUCUUUCCCAAAUCCACUCAAGUUAACAAGGCCUAAAUUUUGUCUAAAUAAUAUUUUGUAUUGUUUAUACCUAAAUUAAUACGUUUUUAUCAUAUGUUGAUUUUUAAUUUGUUUAAAUGAAAUAACAUUUCUGAAAAAGGAAAAGAUGCGUGGGACAAAAAUUUAACGUUAUUCAGCAUAAAAACUUAAGUUUAUUGUUUUUUAAAGUAUGAGAAUCAAACAAAAUUAAUAUUUUAAGCAGAACUCAUUCUAAUUUAUGUUAUAAUUGAAUAAUCAAAAAAUGUGUUUAAUUAUAGCUUAAAUAGAAUUAGCUCAUAAUAUAUAAUUAAAAACAAUAUUAAUUACGGAUAAUUCUUAUCUUAUAAAUUGAUUUAUAAAGAUAGAAUAGAUUUAAAUUCAAUUUUUAAUUUUUAAUGCCACUUUCAUAUUCUUCAACUUCAUCGUGCUUGCAAGUUUCUUUUCAUAAUACAACUUUCUAUCUUUCAAAUACGUAAAAGAAGAUACAUUAUUCACAUUGUUACUUAAUAAACAAUCCAUCCCUUAAAAUAUAUCUAUAAAGUUAUUAAGACCAAAGUAAAAAUAAAAAUUAUACAAAAACUAAAAGCAUUUUCUUACUUCUCAAGAUAAAUGAAACAUGAUUAAAAUAAUCGAAUUAGGGUUUAUCGCAUUAAUUAAUACAAGUCUAGGGCAUGUUUGGAAGAGACUUAAUAUAUCCCAAUUAUAUAUGACCUUCAUGUGAAUAUACUUUGGUUGUGGAAGGGUUACUUUCAGUUUUUGACGUUCAACUUUUUCCACUUUUUCUUAUGGCAAUCUCGUUUUAUGAAAAAGAUGAAAUAGGUGUAUGAAUAUUCCACCUUUUUUAUGGUAAAGCAAAGGAUAAAAGGAAGAAAAUUCAAAACUAGUGAAACACCAUUUCUUAUCAAUCCCUAUCUUUUCCACUCACUAAAUUUUCUUUCAGUUCAAGACACAUCACAUGCACACCUUUUUUUUUUUCUCUAUAUUUUAUGUCCUAAAAAUAUAUUUUUAAAAAAAGUUAACAUUGUUUUGGCCUUCUUUUACCUUUCUUCUUGGCAUGGAACCCUAGAAGAGGAUCCAAUUCUUCACAAAAGCAUCAUGUUUCUAUCAAAAUAUUCUUUAUCUUAACUUCUUUUUAUUUCCUUUUCUGUUAUCCAAUCUUUCCAAUUUUCCCUCCUUUCUUACUUCUCUCAAGUUUCAAAGAUCAUCUCAUGGAGAGUUUACAUUACCUUUUUCCUUUUGUUAUUGAGUGAGAAGGUUGACAUUAUUUUUAUAGAUGAUGUAAUUUUUUGACUUUUCUCUUGAUUUAUUAUCUCUAAAUCAGUUAUAAUAGAUUGAAUUUUGACUUUUAUUGCAUUUUAUUUUUUGUAAUUUAUAGAGUAAAAAAUUAUUAAACAAAACUUAUAGUAUUUAUACUAUUAAUUAAAUAUAACUUUAGUAAAAUGAUUUUGGAAAGAAAAAUAAAAAAUAAGAGACAUGUAUUGAAAGAGUGGUAGUGAAGUGAGUAAGGAAAACUUGAAGCUUCCCUACGACCACAUGAUUCACCCAAUUAUUCUUUUAUACCAAAAAGUUUCAACAUUUUGGAAUUAAUGCUGUUUAGUACAUAAUAAAGUACUUUAUGAGAUGUUUUUCAAAGCAUAAAUUCGAUUUUGUGGGAAUAAUAACUUUCCCAUGUAAUGGCUUUAGCCAACUCUUAACAAAGAAAAAGAGAGCAUAAAUUCACUGUUUUUUCUUUGUUUAGUAUAAUUAUUUGAGUCGGUUGUUGGGAAGAAAUCUUUGAUCUAGAAAAGGAUAAUUUUUUUUAUAUAAUUGAAAUUUAAAAAUAAUAUAUAUAUAUAUAUAUAUAUAUUUUCUACAUCAAGUUAGGAAACUCAUUUUUUUGUAAAGAAUCUUUAUUAGAAAAGUCUACACUUUCUUACCAUUAUGGAAUUCAAAAGUUGAUUGAGUACAAAAUAUUCCUUGCACUCAUUUCACCCUAAAGUAAAAAAAAAAAGGUUUACUCUGUUAGGAGUAUGAAUUUGUCUUUGAUGCUUCAUAGUUUAUAUAUACAAACAUUAAAAAAUGAAAUAUAAUUCAUUUGAUAUUAUAUUGUUGAAAUGAUUUAUUAUACUAAUAAAUUAUAUAUAUAACUAGUUUGAACAAUAAGAUUAUACUAAUAAAUGACUAAUUAAUGUUAUAGUAACCUUUCAUUAGAGAGUUUAUUUUUUUAGAAAAAUUACUAUAUACUUUAAAGAGGAGGAAAAUAAUAUUUUACUUGACCUUAAUUUUAUAUUCAUUUUUUAUUGCACAUUGAUCUUUCUUUUUUGAAUUCAUUUUUACUUUUAGUUAAACACUUAUAUUAUAUAAAAUAUUCACUGCUAACAAUUUUUAUUUUAAAAUUAACAUAAGAAUAUAUUUAGGCAUUGUUAUUAGGUCUAUUAUGUUGAGGGAAAACUAUGUUUAUAAGAGUGUGUUAGAGAAUAUGUCAUUCAUUAUCCUAUUAUUAUAAAAUUACUUAUAAACCUAUUAAUUCCAUGUUCAAGCUUGUUCUGUUUUUUUUUUUUAUGUGAAAGAAAUAUCACAUAAACUGUAUUUGAUUAUUUUGAUCAUAUCAUUAUAAGAAAUUUCUAACACUAAUAAUCUUUUUAUUUUUUCUAAAUUCUUUUUGUUAUCCCUUUCCUAUAUUGUUGGCGAACCGAACCCUAUCGAAGAGGCUCGUGUCCGACGUUGAAUGGCGAUAAACUGAAAUCUGAGAUACUCUGUGUAAAUACAUUAUUAUGAGUUGCGAGUGGAAACAAAUCAUUGUAAAACGAGCUCUGAAGAAAUUAGUAAAAAGCUGCAAUAAUAAAGGAUUUUUGAUUGUAUAGUUGUGUUAUUGAGCCAUCAAAGAAGACAUAAAAAGCUGAUAAUAGAGAGUAUUAAAGAGCUACUACAAGGGUGGUGGGGGCAACACACCAAUCCAGAGAAAACUAUUCAUAUAAUAAUAUUUCUUCUCUUCAAAAACAACCUUCAUCCAUUGAAAUUCCAAUCCCCCAGCUCAUUUUUUCUUCAUGUGGACCCAAUUUAUAAUAAAAUUUUAUUUUCUUUGUCUUUUAUAAUGUCUGAACCAACCAUUUAGAGGAAGGAACAUGCUGACACAGGAAUCACAACCAUUUAGGAAACUGGUUGGUUUGCGUAACUUCAUGCAUAUAUACAUAAUCUGUCCUAUUAUUUGAUUUUAGGGACAAAACUUGUUUAUGUUACUUCUCUAUACAUUUAAGCUUUCACAGGUGCGUCUGACUGUGCUACUUCUGCAACUGUGGUCCUAAUAAUUAAUAUCAAGUGGAUCAAUUCAAAAAGGAAAGAAAGUUUUCAAAAUUACAUGUUUUCUUGAUUUUACCUACUUUAGCUUUAAUGAUUCAAAUGUUACUUAAUAAUUAUAAAAUGAGGUAAAAAAAAGUAUUUUAUAGGACACAGAUUAGUGUGUGUUUCAUGCUAGCUGGUUUCCAUGGAAACCCAAGAAAGAAAGAUUGUAUUGUAUCAAUUGAACAAUAAAGUGUCCUGUCCCCCCUGUAAUUGUUCUGCAACAAUAAGCACCAUCCAAUUGUCAUUGCUGUUAAUAACUGCUAAUAACGGUUUUCAUCCUCUCUCUUCGAAUGUAACUUACUAUGUUGUCGUUUCGUUGAAAAAAAAAAAAAUUGUUUUAGUCACGUUUUGUUGGGAAGGUAAAACAACAUUUCAACCUCCAAAUGUAUGUUAGAGUUGCAGAGUUAAUUGUCGUAUUAGAAACUUAGAACUCUCCUGAAAUUAUAUAGUCUAACGUGUCAAUGGUUUACACAUUGGGAAUCAAAAUAGUGUCUUACAAAUAUUAUAGGUGAAAAUCAAGAUAUUUCACUAUAUUGUGAUUUAGUUAUCUUCUUUUUUUUUUUCAAAAAUCAUGUAAAUACAAAUUAAAAAAGAGAGUAACAAACUAAAUUUAUUCAAGUUUGGCCCAACUAUGCACAAUCAACAAAAAGAUU